This 57538-nucleotide long non-coding RNA is filed under the name Phoenix dactylifera (date palm). RNAcentral's name for it is "long non-coding RNA (PDAC_LNC000668)". The record is from RNAcentral. Lineage: Eukaryota; Viridiplantae; Streptophyta; Magnoliopsida; Arecales; Arecaceae.
UUUUGGUAGAAGGAUGUCCUUGCAUAUCAAAAAGUUUUAUUAGACUAAUUAUAACAAUCUAUUUCACAUGUGGCUACAUCUAUGAGUACUUAUUUCAAGUAACCUAUUUGUUUAAGAACCCGAAAGGGCUUCAGAUACUUCUCUGAUGCCGCCGGCAUACUCUGAUGAAUAAUGAUCUUUUUGACUUGAUGAUGGAUGGUUAAAUAAAAGUAUAUGAUGUUGGAUAUUACUGCAUGGAUUGAUGACUAUGCUAUUGUAAUAGCUUGUUGUGUUUGAUGAAUACUUGUUAAUAUAUACUAUGUAGAUGCUAACAUACAUACAUAAAUAAAUAAAUAUUGUUGCCUCCUCGAUGUAUUGUAUCGCAUUUUUUUCAAGAUUUGUUGUAUUUUUGUAUCCAUAUCAUGUCUUGUUCUUGUCUCUUAUUCAUGUGAAUAAGUGCUUCAUAGAUAUGGAAUAUGUUCAAAUGCCACUUUUUAUCAGGUUAUGUCCUAACCUAUGUCUACAUCGCACUAUGCAACCCCAUAUUGUGCUAGAAGCCCUUUACCAACAUAUCAAUUCUUGUCCUUCUUUCUUAUGGGGGUAAACUGGCGGGCUCAGAUUAAUAUAGAUUAAUAAUACAAACUUUUGAAACUUUCUAUCCUUUAGUUGCUAUGUAUUUUAGUUACUGUUUGUUUGCUUCUAUAUUCACAUAUAGGUAAUGUGGUGUAUCAUAUAAGUUGUUUCUGCAUGAAUAGUAUUGAGAACUUAACUAGGUUAAACGCUGAACUUGUAGUCUAGACAAAAGCCUCAGAAAUCAAGGAUUUCGAAAUUAAUAGGACGAAAUAGUAUAAUGAAUGACGUAAAGUGGAGAUAGGAGUGAAAUCGAGUUUUUGUUUGAAGUUGAUGGGCAUAAUCAUCCAAAACGGUGCUAUUCAUUUGGGCAUAAUGAUCCAAGAUUGAACUUUUGAAGGCAAAUGAAAACAAUCAAUGUACACCUUAAUCAAGUUUCCAACUCUUGGUUUAUUCCACUAUCACCUUGCACUUAACCUCAAACAUACUGUAAUUCAGCCUUUAUAGAAAAGAGUAGUCCAAGUCUCUAGUACCACCUCUUACUCUAGCAUUCAACUCCCAGAAUGUUCAAAAACGCCAGCAAGGUCUGAUUCUGGCUUUGUUUAGCAAAUUUAGUUCUUCUUGUAGGUCCAUAAUGCAGUUACUUCCCAUUGAUUUUGCUUUCAUUGUGCAAGCAAGGAGGAUAUAAAUUGAGAAAAGCUCAAGUGACCAAACCUUGACUACUGGAAGAAAGGACAAUGUUGGUUACAUCACCUUAUGUUUUUACUUUGAGCAUCAAAGCUGCUCGAGAGCUUGUGAAGGCACUUAAGUUUGAUGACUCUAGGACAAACUGGGACUAACCCUUGUGUUUGCACCCAUCCUAAACUCAAGAGGAGGUUAUAGAUUUGAAACUUGAGAGAUGCUUUCCAAAUAUUUAAGUUAGGAUUUCCUAAGGUGGCAGUUCGACUAUUAUUUACAAAAAGAAAGGACCACUCUAGCAAUCUUUCUGCUCAUAUGCUCUCCACCUCUUCUUUGCUAAUUGCCAACUGUGGCUUCUUUCCAUAAACUUCUUCCUUCAUCUGCUUAUAUCCCUUGUCAUGUUCUUAUAUCGACUAGCUCUUUCACAACAGAGUGGCUGUAGUCAUUCAUCAUCUCCUCCGAAUUAUGUGGAGAAUCCAGCCUUUUUAAACAUGGCUGAAUUUUGCUGAAUUUCAGUUAGAAACCUCUGGCUUUAAAAGAAAUGGUUUAAAGGCUGAGUCCUCAUGAAUUGCCGAAUUCUUUUAAACUGGAUGAUGUGCAACCAUCUGAGUCAAGAGACAACCAAAGUCACCCUAACCUUCUUCCCACAUCCCUACUGAUAUUUGCUUCAUAACCAGAGCUAGCUAUCUGUUCUUGUCAGUAAGGAGGUGUCACGCUAAUUUUUCCACAUUGAAAACAAUCAUUGUCCUGUUCCAAACAGCUUGCUUGAAAAGGAUAUACACUCUUGGCUUCUAGAGGUGUCAAACUUGAUAAUUAGCUUUCCAUAACAUUAUGCAUACGAUGAAAGUCACCAGCACGUAAAUCUAAAUCUGAAGGAAUCUUCAUGUUCUCUUCAAGCUUCCAAAAUCUUAAUGAAUUCUAAUAGGCUAAGAAUAUAUUCUAUUACUUAAUAUAAUAGGGUUUUAUCAGUAUUAUGGAUUGAUAGAAUAUCUAACAGAAUGUAGAACAUUUUGGACAAUAUCCUGUUAUCUGUAUGCUAUAUUAUAUGUGAUAUUGUCUCUUAGCAAGUCUCAGUAUGAUGAUUAUACUAGUUUUCAACAGUUUGAAUUGAUUGACGCUAGUUGAUUUUCUGUUACAAUAGAUAGAGGAAACAAAAGAUAGCCAAUAGCUGUUUCAACAUCUGCAAUAAGAAAGCAUCUCCUUUCAAAUUGCCUUUCACGAAUAUAUCUUGUAUCUGCUCAUGGCAUCCAUCUUAGGGCUCGUUUGGUUCGCGGGAAAAGAAGGGGGGGAAGUAUGGUCAACGGAAAAGUAAUGAGAUGCCUUUUGUUUGGUUGGAGUUUUCAAAGGAGAGAAAUGGAAAAGUUGUAUUCCCAUGGGAAUAUGAUUUCUACAUUUCAUGGAAAAGUCUUUUCUAUGAGAAACAUGAAAAAGUUAUUUUCUCAUGAGCCAGGAAUAACUCCAUUUUUAUUUUUUUUUCAAAAAGGCCCUUCAACGUUAAAGAGGCAUUAAAGACCUAAAUUUUGUUAAGAGUAUAAUAGGAAUUACACAUAACUUUUUUAGGAAAGUGGAUGGUCAACCAAACAUAAGUACUUUGAAAAUCUAUCACUUUUCCAUGGUCAACCAAACAUGCCAAAAGUACUUUUUCAGGCAUCCUUUUUCUAGAAAUCUGCUUUCCAGGAAUCUUAUUUCUAGAAGAAAAAAUGCUUUCCGCAAACCAAACGAGCCCAGUUCUCAAAGACCUUUUGCUAGAGCCUCCUACCGAGCAGGAACCCAGAAAAUACAGACACCUUCUACAUAGACUUACCUAAGAAGUUAAGAACAAACUCAAAUGAUUCAUUUUCAAGUGACUACAUACAUGAUAUGGUUUUCAUGGAUUGAGGUUACUUUCUCUAGUCUUCACCACCUGUACAUGCUUGGUUACUGAACGGGAUUGUGUACUUGCUCUAUUCUUCAGCCUGAGAUUUCCAAGAUUUAAUGAUAACCUUUUGAAGGGAAAAAGUGGUUGGCUUCUAUUCAAGUCCAUGUAUCCUACAUGUCUCUGAAGAUAUCCAAGCUAGCAUUUGCAGAAGGGCAUCAUCAUCACUAUCUCAAAGAUGGAUCUUGGAGGAUCAAAUAAUCAUGAUCCACAUCUUUAAUGAUUAUCUGCAUCAUUUAUUAUGGCUAGAACUAAACAAAUUGUUUCGUUACUUCUAAUCUCUGUGAUUUCAGAAAAUAAGCUUCCUUCUGUCACAUGGCAAAAUAAUUUAGUUUAUUUUAAUUUGGAUCUAUUAGAUAUAAUUAAGUUUUGGGAUGUGAGUUUUAAGAUCUACAGAUUGUGAUCGACAACGUAUAUUCUCAUUUCAUAUGAACCAUUGUAGACUUUACAACCCUAGCCAUGCCAAUAUCAACCAUGUUGUGUACAAUUAAUGCAUAGGUAAGAGAACUUCAAGAUAUCAGAAUUUUGAUUUGCUAAGUGUUCCAGAUGUUAUUUAGAUGGUUGCAAGAUGAAUGGUUUAUUUGAAAAUAAGAAAAAAGGUUUGUUUUGAUCCAUACAUAUAUGGUAGCCAAAGCACUUGAAUUUUUAUUAACUUGUGCAUGAUAUAAAAAGAUAGCAGGAAUAGUUUGUAACACCAAUUUGGAUACCCAUACACUUCUGAUGCUACUUGGGCCUCAAGUAACAUCAAAGUUGUCCAAUACAAAUUAAUUUAAAUGUUUCUAUUUUAUGUAUAUUCGCUACAACACCUAUUUUUUCGAAAGUUUUUUCUUAAAGAAAAAGUUUAUCAUGAUCUGGUUAUGAAUCGAAACAGAGUAGGAUAUAAUUUAUAUUGAUUUGUAACUAAUCAAAGUUGCUGUUUGAUAUAAUUGAAAUCAUUAUGCAGUCAUCGGUCAUGAAUUAUGAUUGCUAUAACUCAGAAGUCUGUCUUACAAUGAUAAAUUCUUUUCCAAUUGUUGAUUCCUUUUCUUAAUGUUCUUAUUAGAUCAUGUGUAGUUGUCAAGCUGUUUGACCAUUGAUCUUGUAUAAUUUUGAUUUGUAUAAUCCAUGCAGAAGGGAAGUACCUCAUCAUCCCUUGUGAAGGUCCCCACCUUGAUUUUUACUCAUCUACCCUUGCAAAGCAUUUCCUCAAUAUUCCCACCUGAAGCACCGCUAUCCUUGAAGUAAGUAGUAAUAUUUUCUGUUUAUGUCAAUGGUGAGAAUUUGAGACAAUAAUAUUUCUUAUCAAUCAUUAGCAAUGUUUUUAUGCGACAUACAAUUGUCGUCAAAUUGCAACUCUAACUCUCUUGCAUGUACGCCACCUGCAUAUAAAUUAGAGUCCAAUGCACUUGAAAAGGGGAGACUCACAGAAGUUGAUCAAGGUUCCAUAUUAUUUUUGCAGAAUUCGAAUUUCGAGGGUGUUGAAUUUUUCAAUCCAUAUACAAGAGGAGUUGUCAGAUGAACAUCCAACAACUGAAUGGUCAGGUUCUUUCUAAAGAGGUUGCUUAUGAGAUUAGGAAGUGGUAUCUAGCUAAACUUUUCAAAUGUAAGCAUCACAUAAUUGCCAGUAACAGCAGUUAAUUUUAUGUUUUAGCUGGAGCUUUCACAACACCACAAUCAAAGUUGGAUUUCAUUAUAAUGCUUAUCUGUAUUCAUACUAAUCCAAGAGGAGGAAUUUGCGUAAUGAUUCGUAAAAAUGGUCACUGGAUGAGAGUCAACCUUCCGUAUGGGGAUGUGAGCAUGAACAGCUUAUACUGCAUGAUGACAAGAUAUAUUGAUAAGUUGUUAAAGCGGAUUAUAUGUUAUACUACUAGAUUAAGAUAUAAGAUUACAACUCUUUAUCUCUACAAAUUUUAAGUGACGUAGAAAAUCAAGAGAUAACAUCGAAUAUUGAGCAGUUAAUGUUUGAAUGGAUUCCUGCAAAAUCCUAUCCCUAGUUGAAUUUCUUGGUGCUAACUUUUAAUCUCCAGCGCUAAGAAAUUCAACCGGCGGUAAGAUUUUGUAGGAAUCUAUUCAAACAUUGACUGCUCGAUAUUCAAUAUUAUCUCUAGAUUGUCUGCAUUACUUAAAACUUGUACAGAUGAAGAGUUGCAUUCUCAUAUUUUAAUCUCGUAUUAUGACAUAUAAUCUGCUUUGAUUACUUAUCCACAUAUCUUGUCAUCAUGUAUAAUUAAGCUGUUCAUGCCCACAUCCUCAUACAGAAGGUUAGCUCUCGUCUUGAUCAUUUUCAUGUACUUAUUACAUGAAUCCCUUUUAUUUGAUCAGUAUGAUUGUAGAUAAGUACCAUAAUGGAAUCCAGCUCUAAUGGCGGUAUUGUAAAAGCUCCUGUUAAAACAUAAUACUGGUUGCUAUUAACAGAUAUCAGUAAUUGUGUGGCUCUUGCAUUUCAAAGAUUUAGAAAAUAAAUAUCGUUUGUUGAUCUCAUAAGCAACCACUAAAUCUAGUGUGUCCGGCCGUGCCAUCUACAUCAACAACGAAGACCAUUGGAUCUCAAUGCAUAUGAUCUGCCCUGGAGAUGAAGCUUGGAAGGUGUAUGCCUUUAAGAAGCAUGAGCGAUUUACUUCUAUAAGUGCUAUGACUUUAGUCGGCAUGCAGGUUCUGUGCAUUGAUUGUAAGAAAGGGAGGUUUGUCACUCUUGAUCUGCUAGAAAAGAGUUGGAUGUUCUUCUCACAUCACCAUAACCUUAUAGGUGGUUCGAAAAACAUUGUCGAAGGUGAAGGGGAAAUUGUGAGGGUCUAUUUUGUGUCUCCAUGCUUCAGCUCUUUAAAAUUCUCUGAACUGAAUAUCUGGAUGAUCUUGAGUUGGAGAAAACCAGUUGUUGCUCAUUUUGCAUGGAGGAACAGGGGAAGGAAGGUUUCCACUUUAAGACCGAAUGAAUAUUGGGAGCCAAGAUGUCUGGACCUUGAGGCAGCAAAACGGAAGAGAUUCAUCUGGGAAGAACCAACUGAUCCUGAUAUGGAGUCAAAUGUCUAUAUCCACAACUUGGCGGAUGGCAGCUAUGAAAGUCUACCGCCAAAUUCAUUCCCUGCUAAGCGCGUGGCAUGGAUCUUGUCAGCUAACAAAGAACUCUUUCUCAAUCUGUGGGCCAUCAGCUCUUUCUGUUUGCAUGGUCAUUCUAUGUAAAAAGUCAUUGACCUAGAUUGUGGUGUUUUAGGGGCUUUUGCCUAAACAGAUGCGAGUAUGGAGGGGGAUGUGACACAUGACACAUUGCUCUCUAUCUUGCAAUCCAACUGAUCAAAUAGAUUUCAGGAUCGCGUUUUGGCAUUUUGUUUCAUUUGGCCGACCGUUUUCUACAUUUCUAACUGGUUCGCAUUUAUACAUUUGAUGAUGCGCUGCAUCGCAUGAACUGAUGCAUUUUAUUGAGACGUGUGGGACUUUGUGUCCACGCAUUUAUCUGCCUUCAAAUUUUUUGUCGUCCGCAGUGUUGUCUUGUUGCUAGUUUAACCAUGCCGUGCUGUGAUUGUCAAGCAAGGUUUUUUGAGAAUGUUUCCAUCGCUUAAGAUUUUUUCAGCACCACAAGGCAAUGGACUGCACUUGUUGGCUCAUCGAGCCGUCUACUCCUCUGUCUUGGCCCAUGGAUGGAUGCCCCUCACGAAAGCAGAGUCUUAGAUGAAGAUCAUUAAGCAAAAAGAAAAGAAAACUUAGCAGCCCCUCAUGGGAGUUGAAGUAAUUAAAGGAAAAAAAGCUAUCAGCAUGCAAAUAUUUGGAUGGAUGGCAAUUCUUAAAUUGUUGUUACCUGGAUCAAGCCGACCGAAAAGAGGGAGCACAAUAUUAUUCACAUAGUGUUUCUCAUAUAGCAUAGGUUAUGAACAAGUUUCCUCUUGAUGUUUACUUUCAUUUUGCUGAAUGAAAGCUACGAGGCAUCGGCCUAAUUUUCUCCUGAAAACACGUUUUUGCAAGAUAUCACAUUUCUUGAAUUAAAAUUUCAUAUGAAGAACAAAGAGAUUAUGAGUGGGAUAUGAAGUCCUGCUCACCUUUUAUGUUCCAUCAAAUGCUCAAGUUUUGCCUAGAUCCCAAGACAUCUGGAACUGCAGUUCUGUUCUCCAAAGAAUCCACAGGUAUAAUGUUUCAUUUGCUGGAUAUCCAAUAUAGAGUCCCUGAGAGAGCAUAUUAUUGAAACCCUUAGUUCUGUCUUCGUAUGUGCGUUUCUAACUAUUCCAUGUUUCGUUCCAAAUGUCGAUUUGAUGUGAGUGGAAGGAAGAAUGCAUGAAGCACGGCAAAGGAAAAUGGACAGAUCACCCCUCGAUCUAUACAUUUUUCCUUCCACUUGCAUCAAAUCUACGUUCCAAAUCCACCAAGAGUGGAAGGUUCCGUAUAGAUUUUAUGGUUAUUACUGCUAGUUAUGCUGCUUUUUUAGUACAACAGCGGCUCACACGUGACAGAUGUGAGUGCAGCUAACAAAAUUAGAAAAAAGAAAAUAGAACAGAGGAUAAGGUACAAACAUGUGGUCUUCUUAGGUGAAGCCUUCAGAAUGGUGAGCCCCAAAGGAGGCCGCCUAGUCAGCAGCACUAUUCGUCUCCAUGUAGACAUAUGUGGCCCGAUAGAAACCACACUCAUCUAAGAGCCUGUAGAUGUCGAGGAGCAGCGGCCUAGAACCAGUGGUACGACCCCGACCCCGGAUCUACUCGAUCAUUGUGGCCAAGUCUCUCUCGAGGAGGAUACAGUCCGCACCCAGCAUAUACCUCGCAUAGGUGAUGCCCUUUCAUGCAACUCUAAGCUCAACACUGAUUAUAGAUUUGUCGAAGAUUUGCCGGCCCCUAGCCACUAUCAGUCUGGCAUCAUGGUCUCUGAUGACGAAUCCUAUACCUUCACUGCUUCCUCUCUCGCCAACACACUUCCUAAUUAUGCUGCUUUCCUUUCGUGGUUGUGGGCAAACUUAUCAAAGCAAUUUCUAGAGGUGCUUGAAAGUUCUGUAAAAUUCAUUAAUAGCUAUAGAGACAGGAAUGAUUUUAGAUGUCUAGUAGAGCUUCAACUUGCAAAAGAGACAGGUUGUUUAUGGCUUUUUGAGUGCUUAGGGACCAAUAGUGCAGAGCACAUUGCCCUUGGUAUUUUUGAAAAAACACUUCUGCACGCUCAAAAAUAUCCAAGCACUCAAAAUUAUCUUAUAUUUUAAAGAACUUUAUUAAUAGCCAUACGCAAUUGCAUGUGCAUUAUAACUAUUUAGAGAUGAAAAAUUUAUAAAAAAAUCCUUUAUAUUCAACCGCUAUUUUCACUGGUUAUUUUUGUUAGCAUUUGCGGUCCAAUAAGCAUUUUAAAACUUCACAUAACAUAUUAUGUUUAUAAACUAACUUCAAUGCAUGCUAUAAUCUUAUAUCAUUCAUGUUUAGAAAGAUUAUUCUUAACCACCUUUUUUUCAACAAAAAAAGUGCCAUACAAUGCAUUUGUAUAGUGUCUAGCACAUGCAGCAGAUGUUUGUAGUUCAAUGAUGGAAAGAGAGUAAAUAUCGGAGAAAGAGAGGGAGAGCAAUCCAUCAGGCUUCAUAGUUAGCUUCUGAGUAUCUUAAGACCUUUUCUGCCUGAUUACCGAAGUACCUCCACUAUGAUUUCUUCUACAACCCUGUUUGUCUCUGGUGCUACUAAAAUUAUCUCUUGCUUUGGAUCCUGCUCUGCAAUUUCUAGCCCCAUAUUCUGGGCGUGUUAUGGGGGAAUAUUUGACGGGAAUCGUGCACUUCUCCUUUCCUGAGUUCAGAUCAACCACCGAACACACUGAGAAUACAGAUUCCUCCCAGAAUCGAUGGAGAUAAAAAAAACUUGGAUCACGAGAUGCAAACACAAACAACAAAAUAAGGAAGAAACAAAAAAAAAUCCAGAGAGAGAACACAAGGAUUUUACGUGGUUCACCAAAACUUGGCUACAUCCACAAUCUGGAACACUGCCCAGGAGGAUUUAUUCAAAUCCCAUUUAGAGCCGCCGCUUACACCCCAGAAAUGCCGGCUUGACUCCGAGAAGAAAAUCCAAGAGCACAACCACAAGCCCUAGCAAGAAAAUCCUAGAGCACAACCACAAGCCCUAGCUUCUCUCUCCUUGAUAAUUCUUCUCUCUUAUAUCCCUAGGUCUCAUAAGAGACCUAUUUAUAGUCCCCAGACUCUCAGGUGAUCUCCACCGUUGAUUUGCCACGAAUAGGUAACUUAAAAUCGUGACCGCACGGAUUCCGCGCACAGUUGUCGACAACCCAAUCUCCGUUGUCGACAACUGAUGCCAAGAUCACCAAAAAACACCUUUCUGUCCUUCUGUCUUCUGUUCAUAGUUGUCGACAAGUCUGGCUGACUUGUCGACAAGUUCUGUCCAGUUGUCAACAACCAACUCCCCGUUGUCUACAACUCCACAGUGCAACUUUCUGAAACAACCUGAAACGAUCUUCAAGCAUUCACCUGUAACUCAGACAGUCUUCCAGAUCUUGAGUCUUGGCUCAAAACAAACUUGCCGAGCAUGGGGCUGGACCUCUCCCCCAACAAUCUCCCCCUCCAGACCCAUGGGAAGAAGAGAACCACUGCACAUCUUCUUCAAGUCAUGCCCACGAGCUUAGAACAAAGCUCGUGCUUCCCUCGAGUCACAAUCUUAGUAGCCAUAUCUGCGGAUUUUUACUUGUGUCAAUUUUCUUGAUAACCAUCUCCCCCUCUUCAAGCACUUCUCGGAUCCAAUGAUACCUAAUUGCUAUAUGCUUGGUCCUCGGGUCAAUUGCACUCUGAGCAUCACAAUGUAAUACAAAAGCCUCCUGCUUCAUACCCAAUUCAAGAAGAAACCUCUUCAACCAGAGAAGUUCCUUGCCGCCCUCAUUCACAGCAAUAUACUCAGCCUCGGUUGUAGAAAGAGCCACACACUUCUGCAACUUCGACUGCCAUGAUACAGCUCCCCCUGACAAAGUGAAGAUAUAACCAAAAGUCGACCGCUUCCUAUCAAGAUCACUUGCCAUGUCUGCAUCCGUAUAUCCUUGUAAGAUUGGAUUGUCACCGCCAAAGCACAAUCUGAAAUCUGAAGUUCCCCUCAAGUAUCGCAGUAUCCACUUCACCGCCUCCCAGUGUUCUUUGCCUGGGUUUGCCAUAUAUUUUCUCACCACACCCACAGCAUGAGCAAUGUCCGGCUUAGUGCACACCAUGGCGUACAUUAGGCUCCCCACGGCUGAAGCAUAAGGAAUUGACACCAUCCUUUUUUUGUCUUUUUUUGAAUCCGGUGACAUACUAGAACAAAGUUUAAAAUGACCCACCAGAGGAGUACUUACCGGUUUUGCAUUCUUCAUACCAAAUCUCUCAAGUACCUUCUCAACAUAAGUAUUCUGAGACAACCAUAGUCUUCGACCCUUCCGAUCUCUCUCGAUAUUCAUGCCAAGAAUGUGCUGGGCUGAACCCAAGUCCUUCAUGUCAAAAGCUUUGAAGAAGUCCCUUUUCAAUGCCCUAAUCAAAUCUCCAUCCUGGCCAACGAUCAACAUGUCGUCAACAUAGAGUAGAAGCACUAUGAAUCUCCCACCGGUAAAACUCUUUCGACAGACACAAUGAUCUGCAGUUGUACGAGUGUAUCCCUGACUUACCAUAAAGGAAUCAAACUUUUUGUACCACUGUCGAGGAGCUUGCUUCAGACCGUACAAGCUCUUCUUCAAACUACAAAUCAUAUGUUCUUUGCCUUUCACCUCGAAGCCCUCUGGUUGCUUCAUAUAGAUCUCCUCCUCGAGCUCUUCAUGAAGAAAUGCAGUCUUGAUAUCGAGUUGCUCAAUCUAAGUCCAUCAAAGCUGCCAUCGCCAAUACCACCCGGAUUGAUGUCAUCUUCACCACAGGAGAAAAAAUCUCAGUAAAAUCAAUACCUUCUUUCUGCUCAAAAUCUUUGACCACCAGUCACGCCUUGUACUUUGCUACUUGAUCGGUACUAUCUUGUUUGAGCUUGAACACCCACUUGUUGUGCAAAACUCUCUUUCCCCUUGGAGCUUCGACAAUCUCAUAAGUGUCAUUCUUCUUCAAGGAAUCCAUUUCCUCUUCUAUAGCUUUCAACCACUUUAUCUUCUCUUUAGUACAAAGAGCUUCGUUGAAGUCCUCUGGUUGCCCCUCUUCUGUAAGCAAAGUAUAUUCCUCUGAACUAUACUUUCUUGAUGGUAUAGGCACUCUAGUGGACCUCCGGAGUUGAGGCACUUCCGAAGGUGGGAGCUCUACUUCCUGCCUGGUAGAUUCAUCACGUACCGGAGCUUCAUUACCACCAGCAUCCUCAACCACUGGUUCUUCAUGAGCCUCUCCCUCUCCCCCCUCUGAGAGCUGUGGGGAAGAAAUGGGAGUUUCAUCUUGUGGACUUCUAUUAUCAUUUGGCUUCAUAUUCACUUGGAUGUCGGCGAUAGUCUCAUCUUCAAAGAACACUACAUCCUGACUUCUUACUAUCUUCUUGGCUUUAGGGUCGUACAAGUGCUUGCCGAAUUCCUCAUCCCCAUAACCAACAAACAUACACGGUAUGCCUCUAUCAUCGAGCUUUGACCUAUUCUCCUUUGGGAUAUGCACAUAUGCUUUGCAUCCAAAAACUCUCAGAUGGGUAUAGGAAAUCUCCUUCUUCAACCAAACACUCUCUGGAACAUCCCCCUUCAAGGCAACUAAGGGAGACCGGUUGACUAUAUAGGAAGCAGUUAACAUUGCCUCCCCCCAAAAUGUCUUUGAAAGCUUUGACCUGAAUAGCAUCGCCCGAGCUUUAUCCAUCAAUGUGCGGUUCAUCCUCUCCACCAACCCAUUGUGCUGAGGGAUGCGGGGAACAGUCUUCUCAUGCUUGAUACCACGCUGAGCACAAUAGCUUUCGAACUCAUGGGAAACAUAUUCCCCUCCGUUAUCACUACGGAGACACUUGAGUUUCUUCCCAGUUCCACGCUCUACUUUCAUAUGGAACUUGCUAAAAGCUUCAAAUACAUCAGACUUGUUCAGCAAAACAUAAACCCAUACCUUUCAUGAUGAAUCAUCGAUGAAAGUGAGGAAGUAGCGGCGCCCACCGAGUGUAGGAACGUGGAGUGGCCCGCAUACAUCGGUAUGGACAAGCUCCAGGAGCUCUUUCUUCCUCUCUGAGUGUUCUGUGAAGGACACUCUGUAUUGCUUUCCUGCUAAGCACGCCUCACAAGAGCGGAAUGCCAUCGAUCCAGCAUUUGAAGGAAUAAGGUUCUUCUGACCGAGUAAUUUCAUCCCUUUCUCGCUCAUGUGGCCAAGUCUUUGGUGCCAUAAUUCAGGAGUAGCUUCAAGAGCAUUUACUGACUCCCUUUGAGCAUCUAUCUCCAGAUAUGUCUUGUACAAGGUACAACAUGCUUUGCCUCUAGCCACUGUCAUAGAGCCUUUGCUCAGCUUCCAUGCACCCUGUCCAAACAUACUCACAUAGCCAUCCUUGUCAAGAGCCAACCUUGAAAUCAAGUUCAGACGAAGAUCGGGGACAUGUCUGACAUCCUUCAGAACUAAGGUGCAGCCAACCUCUGUCUUUACACAUAUAUCACCGAUCCCAAGAAUUUUCGCCACACUGCUAUUUCCCAUCCUGACAUUUCCAAAGUCACCAGUUCUGUAGCUUGUGAAGAAAUCCUUCCUAGGAGUCACAUGAUACGAUGCUGCGGUGUCAACCACCCAUUCAACUUUGUUGCCUGAGGUAUGAAGGCAUUCUCCUAAGUCUACAAAGACAAUAAUGCCAUCAUCCGAAGUAAUGGCAGCCAAUGUGCCAUCAUCCGAAGUAAUGGCAGCCAAUGUGCCAUCAUCCUUCUGCUUCACCUUUCCCUCCUUCAAGUCCUUCUUAAAUUGAUAACAGUUCUUCUUCAUGUGGCCCUCUUGCUUACAAUACCAGCACUGAUACUUGGACUUCCCUUUUGACUUGGACCGAGCAAUAGACUUCCCUCUGCCACAGGGCUUCCUGCUAUUACUUCUUCCACGGUCCUCAUUUACCAAGACUUGCGAAGGCCCUUCACCGUUGGCCAUCUUGCGAGAUUCUUCAUUUAACAAAACACUAUGAACUACUGGUACUGUCAAACCACCUUUUAGAGUCAAGUUGCUGAUUGAUACCACCAAGGUAUCCCAGCUACUUGGGAGAGAACUCAGCAACAAGCUAGCCUGAACUUCCUCCUCAAAAGUUGUUUUCAUGACUACCAACUGGUUUACAAUACUCUGAAAAGCAUUCAAAUGUUCUGCCAUUGAAGAUCCAUCUCUAUACUUCAGGUUCACAAGUUUGCGGAUCAAUAGAGUCUUGUUUCCCACGGACUUCCGCUCGCACCUUUCGUGUAGCUUUUGCCACAUCUCAAAUGCCGAAGUAAUUCCAGAAACAUGGGGAUAAAUGCUUACAUCAAGCCAUUUUCGGAUCAUCCCGCACGUUUUCCGAUUCAACACCCUCCACUGUCUAGGAUCCAUGUUAUCUUUCAUAUCAGCAUCUUUUAGGAUAGGCUGAUACAAAUCCAUGCAGUAGAGUAUGUCCUCCAUCUUCUCCUUCCAGAUCGGCCACGAGUUCAUGCUGGUGAAACAAAACAUUCCAGUAUCCUUGUUGUUGCUUCCCAUGUCCAUCUCUAGAUCUGGAUCUAGCAAAAAAAACAAUUUCUUCACUCACUUGAACCAAAGGCUCUGAUACCACUUGAUGGGAAUCGUGCACUUCUCCUUUCCUAAGUUCGGAUCAACCACCGAACAUGCUGAGAAUAUAGAUUCCUCCCAGAAUCGAUGGAGAUAAAAAAAACUUGGAUCACGAGAUACAAACACAAACAACAAAACAAGGAAGAAACAAAAAAAAAAUAAUCCAGAGAGAGAACAUAAGGAUUUUACGUGGUUCACCAAAACUUGGCUACAUCCACCAUCUGGAACACUUCCCAGGAGGAUCUAUUCAAAUCCCGUUUAGAGCCGCCGCUUACACCCUAGAAACGCUGGCUUGACUCCGGAAGAAAACCCAAGAGCACAAUCACAAGCCCUAGCAAGAAAACCCUAAAGCACAACCACAAGCCCUAGCAAGAAAACCCUAGAGCACAACCACAAGCCCUAGCUUCUCUCUUUCCUUGAUAAUUCUUCUAUCUUAUAUCCCUAGGUCUCAUAAGAGACCUAUUUAUAGUCCCCAGACUCUCAGAUGAUCUCCACCGUUGAUUUGCCACGAAUAGGUAACUUAAAAUCCUGACCGCACGGAUUUCCGUGCACAGUUGUCGACAACCCAAUCUCAGUUGUCGACAACUGAUGCCAAGAUAGCCAAAAAACAUCUUUCUGUCCUUCUGCCUUCUGUUCACAGUUGUCGACAAGUCUGGCUGACUUGUCGAUAAGUUCUGUCCAGUUGCCGACAACCAACUCCCAGUUGUCGACAACUCCACAGUGCAACUUUCUGAAACAGCCUGAAACGAUCUUCAAGCAUUCACCUACAACUCAUACAGUCUUUCAGAUCUUCAGUCUUGGCUCAAAACAAACUUGCCGAGCAUGGGGCUGGACCUCACCCCCAACAAUAUUUUUGCGAUAAUGGAAUGCACGCAUUAAUAAUAUAGGCGGUGGCAUAUCAACAAAUGUCAUUAUUGUUAUGCUGACUACCAGGCCGUGAGGCUUUCCCAGGAUAUGUUUUCUAUUUACAUUCCCGUCUGUCUAAUGGUUCUAUCAAUCGACCAGACGGGUUGUGUUCCAAACUUCCAAUCAAAAGGAAGCACCUAAGGAGGUUGGGUUGUUGGGAGAGCCAUUUUGCUCCCUGGUCUCUGGCCCUCAGAGGACAUUAGAAGCAAAUCUGGAACAAUUAAUGCAUCCUUGUAAGACUAAUUGUUGGCAGGCCACUCAGGUAACUGAUUAAGCCACUAAUCAUGCUUGCAAGCAUGAAUGGUGGACUGUGGCUGUCUAGACCCUGCAUGCUUUUUUCCAAUGUCCAUCAAUAACAAAAGAGGGAUGCAAGCCGCAGCUCGGUUUUGAUGCUAUGAUGGGAUGAUGGAAGUGUCUUGGUUUGAGGCUCAUGCAAGCACUUGUUGAAGAGCUGCCAUAGUAAAUUACCAAAUUCAACAAAACAUUUGAUUCUGUUUUAUCCUGAAACCAAUUUCUACUUUUUCAUUAGUAAGUUCAAGCUUAGUGACUUUUUGUUGAUGGAAGAUCAUAUGAUACAUGGACAAAAUCUUGUUAGCUACGCCUAUUGCAUGUGCCUCAUACUAGCAUAAAGGUAAGAACCUUGUAUUAUAAAUAAAAUUUGGUUCAAGUUCAACUAGUAGACACUGCUAAUUAGUUAAAGAAAAGCAUUAUCUCAUAUCAUAAUCACAAAAUUUAAUUAAAAUUAUCAUGAUAUAGUGAGUUAAUUAGUUUCAUUUCUCCUACAAAUCAAAACCACGUGUAAGCAUAACUGGGCCGGCUGAAAAUUUCAGGCCCAGCCGUGAACGUUAGACCGUGUCAAUAGGCCUUAUUUAUCCCAAAUAUAAUAGAUGGAGCAAUAUAUAAGGCUAACGAUUCCAAGAUCCAACGGCCGGAAGCGGGAGAUCACCAGAUGAAAACCCUAAUUAAAAGAAGAGAAACCCUAGAGUUCCCGGGCUCUUUCCCUCUUUCCCUCCUCCAUCGCUCCCUCUCUUACCCCGGCUGCCGAGCCGCCGAAUCCCUCCGGCCGUCGCCCCUCCGUCGAAGACCGGAGCCGGCCAUUGCUUCCCUCUGCGGAUUGCCGGUACUCUUGUCCUCACCCGCUCGUUCCCCCUCUUUUCCCGUCUUCUGUGAAUCAUAGCUCACUUAUAUUACUUUUGGAACGGGGCUUCAUCUCUAUUGCCCUAACUUAUAAACUUUGAGAGCUGGAAUUAUGUCAUCUGCGCUCAAAAUCACUUUUUUUUUUUUUAUUUCGUCAAUGAUUUCAAACUAUAUGAUGAUAUAGUGUGUAAAUUUUUGAGUUUCUUCCCAAAUUUACUCAUCUAUAAAGCGGUAAAAGUUUGCAUCUUUUACUUGAUUUGAUUUGUAACGAAAGUAUUCUAUUUGGUUAACGAAUCCGAUCAUCCUCUCUUCUUUUCCUGGAUAUUUCUUGCGCUAUAGGUUAGUAUUAACUGUGAGUGGAUUAUUUGGUGAAGCUGCUUUGAAGGUUAUCAGAUUUUCAUGGCGGAGGAGGAGCCACAGCCCCUCACUUAUGUCCAUGAGACGGUGCUAAAGAAGAGGAAAAACAAUGAAGAGUGGGCUAUCAAGAGGAGGGAGCAAUUGGAAGCACGAAAGAAAAGAAACAAAAGGGACUUGAAAUUCGCGAUCAAAAGGCCCGAGGAGUUUGUCAAGGAAUACCGUGAUAAAGUAAGCAUAUUGCAUUAUUUNNNNNNNNNNNNNNNNNNNNNNNNNNNNNNNNNNNNNNNNNNNNNNNNNNNNNNNNNNNNNNNNNNNNNNNNNNNNNNNNNNNNNNNNNNNNNNNNNNNNNNNNNNNNNNNNNNNNNNNNNNNNNNNNNNNNNNNNNNNNNNNNNNNNNNNNNNNNNNNNNNNNNNNNNNNNNNNNNNNNNNNNNNNNNNNNNNNNNNNNNNNNNNNNNNNNNNNNNNNNNNNNNNNNNNNNNNNNNNNNNNNNNNNNNNNNNNNNNNNNNNNNNNNNNNNNNNNNNNNNNNNNNNNNNNNNNNNNNNNNNNNNNNNNNNNNNNNNNNNNNNNNNNNNNNNNNNNNNNNNNNNNNNNNNNNNNNNNNNNNGCUCAUUGCUAAACCUAGGCCAUAUCAAUUAGAUGACAUGUUCAUUUCUUGUCACUGCAAAGCUUUUUUUGGUUGUAUGUUUGGCAUCUGAAAUUUGUAAAUAGUUAAAUUUGGAAUUUUUUUUUCUGAUUUUCUCACUCAUUUUCCAGGAAUUGGACCACAUUCGGAUGAAACAAAGGCUGAAGCUGCGGAAAUUGGCUUCUGACAGUCUUAAAUCUGAGUUACUUUUUGUUAUUCGUAUUCGUGGGUGAGUUGGGGAUGUCAUAAUACCUCUUAUUUUGCAAAUUCUCUUGUUCAAAGCUGAUUUUGACAUGUUUGCCUCUGCUAAAUCGGUUUUCUCCCUCUUUUUUGUGAUAAUAUUCAGCUCAAGGGACAUGCAUCCUAGAACCCGAAAAAUCUUGGACUUGUUGAGGUUGAGACAUUUUUUAAGUGGUGUAUUUGUGAAGGCCAGUGAAGCGACUUUGAAAAUGUUACUCAGUGUAGAGCCAUUUAUCACCUAUGGGUAAGAAAUCUGAUAUGUUCUUCAUUAUUUUACCAUAGUUCUUGUUUUCUCUUAUGUUCAUUUAAAAUUUUAUGUGAUCGCAGCUAUCCUAACUUGAAGAGUGUGAGGGAGCUGAUCUACAAGAAGGGCUGUGGAAUGAUAGAUAAGCAGAGGGUUCCUCUCACAAAUAACAAUGUUAUUGAGCAGGUGCAGUCUCCUGCAUUCUGUAUAAUCUUUCACCUGCCACAUAACUUAUUUUCUGUUUUACUUUUUCAUGCAUGGUCUGUAAAUUUACUGUGACUAUGGGUUAGGAACGGAAACCAUCACAACAAUAAUUCAUUUCAUAUUGCUUUGCAUUGUUAAUUUUUGACUGUACAAAUAUUUGAAAUUUUAUUUGGAAGGACAAGAACAAGAUUCGCAUUGAAAUUUCUGGUAGCAUUGUAAUUCCUCGAAGUCAAAGUUCAAAUGCUGAAAGAUUUCCUAGUCAUAGGCCUUGUCUAAGUGGCUUAUACUGCAUCUCAUUCAGAACACAGAAAUAACAUCAUGCUGUACCUUGGCCGUUUCCUCUCUCUACCUUAACGUUCUUGGAUACUUCUCAUGCACCACAAUUCAAGACAGUGUGGAAAACAGUCACCACCUGAUCGGAUGUGAAUUUGGCGGGUCGUCCCACCUUCCUAAGGGUUUGGACAAGUUGUAUUUUUCUCAUUGCAGCUACAUGUGACUUGACAAGUCUGAGUUGACCUGAGCACCUACGAUGUUAACAUUGAUUCUGACCUGCAUUUUUUGAAUGGGAAAACAAAUAUAAACUCAAGUUUUAUGCCUCGAGUAAACUUGGUAGCGAUGAAUGUGUUAAAGCUGCCUGUUCUCCAUUGAAGAUGAUGUGCCCCACAUCAUCUGUUUCCUGCUUUAAUUUAGGAAUAAUAAAUACUUACAAAUUGUUUUGCUGCGUAAUUCAGGCACUUGGAAAGUAUGGCAUCAUCUGUAUUGAAGAUAUCGUGCAUGAGAUUGCUACGGUGGGAUCACAUUUUAAAGAGGUGACCAAAUUCCUGUGGCCAUUCAAGCUUAAAGCUCCUGAGAGACGUCUGCAGUUGAAGAAAAAACCCCACAAGGACGGUGGUGAUUCAGGCAAUCGUGAAGAGCGCAUCAAUGAACUCAUAGAUAAGUUCAAUUAAGGUGGUAUUUGGAGAUGCAGUAACAGCAUUCAUGUGAUGUAUCUUGACCAUCAUCAAUAGUCUUAAAAUUGUGAUUUAAAGCAGAGAUCUUAUUGUAUGUUUAUGGUAUUUGAACAUAUAUUCUCUGAUCCAUUGCAAUUUUUCAUCUUUCUCUAAGUUUUUUUCUUUCACUUUUGUAAUAGAUGUCAAGAAUUUAGUUGUUGAAUCCUGCAACUUAUGCCUGGUAUAUUUGUCUUGUUCAAACUUGGAGAGCAAUUCGUCGGUGAAUUAGUUGAUUAUUCUUGUUUUUGAGCUUAAUCUUUUAUUGAACUGAAUCCUCUAAGCUUGGGAGAUUUCUGUAAUUCUUGACAUUUGUACUUUUUUUGUUCUGCUGCUCGCUAUACGUGAGAAAGUCUGCUACCUUAAAUUCUAUUUCGUAAUGACAAAUAUUUGCUUAUGCCUUUACUCCUUUUUUCUUGGUGGUUGGGGGUUGGGGGGGGGGGGGGGNNNNNNNNNNNNNNNNNNNNNNNNNNNNNNNNNNNNNNNNNNNNNNNNNNNNNNNNNNNNNNNNNNNNNNNNNNNNNNNNNNNNNNACAAGUCUUGAAAGACUAGUACUGUCUGUACUUGGGAGUUAUUGAAAAGAAAGUCCUCAAAAGCCCUGGAAAUUCUCGACAUUCCGGCUGUGGAAUUGUUGCAGAUUAGGUUGAGGGAACCAUUUUUCAAGGAUGAUAUUUUGGAGUGCCCAGACUGUUAUGAUUUCUUGAACAGGUCAAGCUUCUUGUGAAGCAGGGUGUGUUGUACCUUGGCAUGAAAAGAAAAAAAAAUGAUUGGUCUUCUUUCUUGUAGAUCAUUGGAUCAUGCUCUGUAUAGAUCUCAAAGCACUCUAAACUUCUUGAUUCAUCGUAGCUUCACAGAUGUCGAAGCGAUCAUCAGGCAGCAACGCAAGAGCCCUCCACUGCUAUCCCAACACGCUUUUCCUUAUUAGCAGGUGAGAAAAAAUAAGGAUAUUUUGAGGUUGUCAAGCUCUAUCUUUAUCUCAUGAAUGCUAGCUAAGUGGUCGUAUCUCUUUGCUUAUAAACGAGGGUAUCAGGUUUAUGCCUCAAAUGAUGUUAUUACAGCAGUCUUAUUUCUCUCUUAUCAAUGUGUUUCUCCAGUUGCUUCUGGGUAUUCUGUAAUACUCCUAUAUUAUUUUUCUGUUUUGGUAUUUUGAUACCUCAUCUCCUACAGAGAUCAUCGCUUUUAACCUCUGUUUUCGGUUUUCACUUCAUCUUCCAAUGAAGAUGAAAACUCCUCCCUAUUUCUGAAAGAAGAGAACACCCUAUCGCAUGAUCGGCCGUCCAAGAGAAAGAAGGAACGAACGGUGAAACUAGUUCUGGAUAUCAAACAAAACAGGACUGGAUAUUUUAAGGUUUGCAACGGAACAAAUCUGAGCCUGAAACAGAUGUUAUAUAGAACUUACAAAAGGGUGGCAAAGCUGGUCAAGAAGUUUCCUCAUGUCUGAUAACUGAUUCUUAUAAUUAAGGAAACUACAGGUAUUAAUAUUUUGUUCAAAAAACUGCAGAAUCUGUAUGAUUCCUAAUCUAUACCUGACAACAGUUUAUGGAGCUAUAUAUCACAGUAACUUGUGAUAAUAAUCAGCUCCGCAGAAGUUAACAAGAAUGUCCGAUAGACAGAAUUUUGACGCAACAACACAUGAAUCUAUGGAAUUUAAUCUUACAAGAUGUCAGACUGCCAAACUUCUGAAAGGAAUGAAGAUUCAUGAUGACCUAUUUUUCCUGCAAGAACAAUCACUCUAUGGCAGCAAGCCACUCGCUACAUGGACGUAUCCAUUAAUGAAUUGCAGUACAUAAUAAUUAUAACUUAAUUGCGCAAACAUUUCACCAAACGACGGAUUUUUUGUUGACGCUUGCAUGCAUGCAUACUGGGCUGGGCAGGAGCCCUAAUUGUGACAUUUUGGUGCUGGGCAUAAUAGGCUGUGGAGGAACUUCCUAACAACAGUCUGGAAGCCUUAUCCUGCCCGCAGGCAUCAUGCACCCGGACCAAAUUCUUCCGAGGUCUCGUACCAUUACCCAUACCCGCCGUGGAUCGAAUAAAGUUACAAAAAUUAUUAUUUUUAAUUAUAUGUGUGUGUGUAUAUAUAUAUAUCCAAAUCAGAUUUAGAGCUGCUUUUAUCAUUAUCUAUACCAGCUUCGGAUCCAUUGUGAGUCAGGUAAAACGGUGAGGACCCAUGCGGGCCUGUAUUUAGACCCAUAUCGAUUAUUUACUAGAUAAAUCUUGAGUGCUUAUACAGGAUUAAGAAAUGCAGAUAAUUUCUUCCGAUUAACCAUUUUGAAUGAGGUCCUGAGUUGUUACAAUUGGUAUCAGAGCGAACCUAACCCAUAACCUAUCUAGAAUAGGAAACACUGCAAUAUAGAUUUAUUGGGGCUAACAACGGACCGAUCAUAAUGCUUUGAUUAGAUUUGAUUGAAUUUGAACCUUUAGCCUGACGGAUACGUCCGAACUUAAACGGAAGGAGUAUGUAAGGAUCUGUGCACGCAUGUGUUUAGUCCCAUAUCGUUUCUUCACUGGAUAGAUCUUGGAUACUUAUAUAAAAUCAAAAAAUUCAAAUAAUAUUUUUCAGCUAGUUAUUUUGGAUGAGGUCUUAAAUUGUUAUAAAAACUCGCCCCAUUUGAAUUAGGUUAGGUUGGAUAUUCGAUGCAACUGAGUAAAUUGUCAUCCCCAUCAAGAGUAGUGAUGGUGUUUCUAAUAGUAACCGUAACAGGACCAGAAAGCCUGCUCUCCUUUACUUUGGCAUUAUGGUAUCAUAAAUGAAUUACUGAGCUGUACCUUGAACAAGAGGAGAAUUGAUGUCAAUUUAUGCAGGUUUGUGGGCAAAGGGAUGAGAUUUGUGGCUCAUGGGUUCAGAUCGACCUGGAUCGACCCUAUUGGCAAAAGGAUACUUGAACCCAUCAUUCAUGUCAGAGAACAAAAUAGACCUUCAUCACCAAGUAAAGCUCCUUUAUGAACAAAAUCUUGGGGAUGCCAUACCUAGCUAACACCACGCAUGCUCAAGGACAAGUCUUUUUCUUCUGUUUUUCGACUUUUCUCUCUCUCUCUUUUUAACCCCCUCCCUAACUUGUUGAUAUUACUGUUUGUAGAUCUGUCAUGAUAUUCCUGAACUCCUAGCAGCCCUGGAAAGCUUAGUAUCGUGGAAAGGCAAGACCCCCAUAUUCUCUACAAGCUACACGAUAUUCCACAAUUUCAUGUCAAGAUAGGUGAAAGGAUAGGAUCCUCAUGAAUGUGAAAAAUCUUCUUGAAUGGUGUAACAAUAGUUGCAGAUCUAAGCAGAGAGAGGGAGGCAAAUAUGGCCAACUAGUUAAAUUAAAAUAAAAAUCAAAUCAAACUGUAAAAAUUUAGAUUUACAGAUAAAAAAUCAAAAGGUGAGAGGCUUUUAAUAGAGGUUUUCAUGCAGACAGUUUGAUAAAAAGAUAGUACAUUUGAUUAGGGGUCAUACAAGCCAAGAGAUUUUGGUGGUGGAUUGAAAUUCUAUAUAGGUAAAAUGUUAGUAAACUAGAGAGGGGAAGGUAAGAAUGAAAGAGAGAAAAUUUUCAACCCAAAAAGGAAACAGUGGAAUAAUUUAAAGUAAAAAACAGUUUCCAUAGCAUCUUUGUGAAAGUGAGGUUUGUCUUUGUUAAUUCAACCCUGAUCACUUUAUUUAUUUAUAAAGAAGGACAAUCACUUAGGAAUCCAUUGAGAAGGAGAGAUAUGUCUCUUCAUUUUUUGUCUCUAAAUAUAAUAUAAGAAAAAUUUGGCCCAAAAGUUGUGUUAUAAACUAUGGGAUCUUUUUGUUCAAAUCGAACUAAAUUAGUUUUAAAAUUUUAAUAAUUCUUGGAGAGGACUAUGGAUGGUUUCACUUUUUUUUAAAACAAAAGGGUGAUGUUUCGCCUGUAUUAUAUUUAUCUAGGUUGGUAACUUGACUUGCACUAGUCUAGACCUAAACCUAGAGUUUCACUACACCAAAAAAGAAAAUUUCCGACUCUUAUUUGCCGACGCUUAUUCCAAGCGUCGGCAAAAUAAUUUCCCCGUCAACAUUUGCCGACGCUUUUUAAAAGCGUCGGCUAAUGACGAUGCUUUUAACGACGCUUUUUAGCGUUGUUAAAUAACGACGCUUUUAAGCAUCGUUAAAAGCGUCGUCGGAAGCCAAAAAACCACCUCAUUUUAGUCCCACAUCGGUGGAUCUGAAAAAGAAAUAACUGUUUAUAUAGCCAAAUCCAACCACUCUGCAUGGAUGGAAUGAAGGUAUCGAUCGGGGAGGUUGUUUGUAUUUCUCUUUGUGUUCCAUCAGCACCAUGGAAUGGAGGAGAAGAUGCAGAUCGUCAAUAGAAAUUUUCUUAUGAUAAUUAGCGACGUUUUAAAGCGUCGGUAAAGAGCGACGCUUUAAAGCGUCGGGAAAAGCGAAGCUUAAAAGCGUCGCUAAAUUGUAAUUAGCGAAGCUUUUGGAAGCGUCGGAAAAUGUUUUUUCCACUGUAGCAUAGGCGACGCUUUACCGACGCUUUGUAAAGCGUCGGGAUGGUUUCUACCGACGCUUAAAAGCGUUGCUAAUGUCCAAGUUUCUUGUAGUGUUUGGACUUUCAAAUGGAAGAGUAUGGCCACCGAGAAUUCUCAAUUAAUAUAUUUUUUUUCUCUUUUUGAUAUAGAUUUAUUAUUUUUAUUAGAACUCCAUUCAUGAAAUUCCUCUCGCAAGAAGAGACACUAUAUGAAAUGUAGGUUGGAGAAAUCAAGAACAUUCUCUUCUAUUUUUUUCCGAAAUAAAUUAAAUGCCUUUCCGUAAAAAUAGAGGAAGCCUAUGUUUCUUCCUCUUAUCCCAUUUAAUAAAAAUUAAUUAAAAACUUCUCCAUAAACCAAAAUUAAACACAAAAAUGAAUUUAAAUAUUUACUUAUAAAGUUAAAAAAUGUUUUGAAUAUUUUGAUUUUCGCUAAACACUACAUAAAAUAUCUUUUUAAAGUUUGAAGAGUCUAGUUCACAUCUGUUAUCUAAUACCCACCACGGCCGAACUUGCAUACCACUUUAAUACUCGUAGACUCGAGGCUUUACAGAUCAAGAACAAAAAAAUAAAAAAUAUGAAAUUAAGCUAAAAUGUGAAAUUGAGUAUCCUACCCAAGUGCUAAAUAAUUUACUAAUAUUUAUUAUCAUCAUUUUUAAGAUAUAUAAUUAUAAAAAUAUGCAAAAUAAAUUAUUUUUUCAAAAGUAAGAAUUUUUGAAAGUUUACUAUUAAUUCUCAACAUUCUUACAAAAGUAAUUUUACUUCUCAUUACUUUUCUUUCGGUGCAUUUCACUGCAACAAGAAUACCUUCAAAAAUUCCACCCAUUGUACGGCAGAAAUCUAAUCAGACAAAAAACAAGGGAAAAAAAUAACUAUGAAAUGCAUUUACUCUAACUUUUGCUCAACAAUGAAAGACAUUUACUACAGCCACUUUAAAUUCUCAUCAAAAAGUUCAACACACAAAUAAAUAACCAUAGUAAAUUCCUUGUUCAACAAAAAUUAAAUGCAUGCUUAGAGUCCGUGACACUUGUACGCUUCUCCAUCUCUCUCUCUCUCNNNNNNNNNNNNNNNNNNNNNNNNNNNNNNNNNNNNNNNNNNNNNNNNNNNNNNNNNNNNNNNNNNNNNNNNNNNNNNNNNNNNNNNNNNNNNNNNNNNNNNNNNNNNNNNNNNNNNNNNNNNNNNNNNNNNNNNNNNNNNNNNNNNNNNNNNNNNNNNNNNNNNNNNNNNNNNNNNNNNNNNNNNNNNNNNNNNNNNNNNNNNNNNNNNNNGUCCCUGUUGACUGAAAAUGAAUUUUGUGGUCCAACGGCUCUCCAAACUAUAAUUCCCGGUUCCUGGGAGGAUUAAUCUUUGAAGAUAAUGUGCCGAAUAUGCCCCGAUCCAUGCCAACACUAGUAUUUUGAAGGCAGAAAUUGAGACGUUUGGAGUUUCCGUAAUCCCUGUUCGCGUGGCCAACGGAAGGCAUUUUCGGUUUGAAGGCGGGGAAAAGUGAGUCGUUUGGAGUUUCCGUAAUCCCUGUUCGCGUGGCCAACGGAAGUCAUAUUCGGUUUGAAAGCGGGAGAACUUCACCGUUGGAAUUCCAGAGAAGACUUUGGAGCUCCACAAGCAUAGUCCUCUGUUCUUUGAGGUUCCAACGGACGGUAUGCUUAUCGGGGGGCCAACGGAAGGGUUUUUGGUUUGAAGGCGGGAGAAGGUUACCGUUGGAAGACCAGAGAAGACUUUUGAAGGCAGAAAAUGAAGUCCUCUGUUGUUUGAGGUUCCAACGGACACCUGUUUGCCACACCUAUUUGCCGUUGGAAACGCCUGCUAGUUAGAUGUGGGACAUCAACGAGGACAUAUACUGGUAGACGAGAUGGUUGGCAUGGUGUUUAUAUCAAAGUAUUCAGAGCGAUUCUAGAAGAGUUGAACCGCUACUACAUUUGGCCGCGGGAACUGGAGUCGAGAGAGAACUCCAUUUUCUGUUUGAACUCCAUCCGGCAAACAGAUUAUAUGCAGAUUGCCCAUCUGUUUGAACUAGAGUCUUCUCUUCUUUGAUAAGCAGAUUACCCAUCUGUUUCCCAUCUUCUUCCGUUUUGCCAUAGGGUGUGGGAAAUUAAGAUUAUGUUUUCUUUGUUUAUGAAUGCCUUGUUCUGCUCCAGUCUACCAUCUUCUUCCAUUUUGCCUUAGGGUGUGGGGAAUUAAAAUCAGGUGUUUUUUGGGAGUUCAUGAAUGCUCUGUUGUGCUCCACUCUCCCUCUAAGUCUGUUAUAAUAGAGAUAUUUUGCUAAGGUGCCUCUGAUUCUGCACUCUUCGUCUGACUUUGUUAUAACCGAGCUGAGCUCCAAGAAUUGUCUCCAAAUCAUUUGUGCUGAUCCCUCCUUUUUUCAUUAUCAUGGCUUCAAAGAACAGUAGUAGCCCGGUUUUCAUGGCUAUUUGUUGUUACAGUAGCGAAGCUGUUAUUAUUUCCAUUUGUGAGGACACAAUUCUUGAUCAAAUUUUCAAGAAAAUAGUGGAAAGGUGGAGACAUUUAUCUUCUACAAUGAUAGAAAUUAAGUUUUAUAUUCUAAACAAAUCUAGAAUGCUUGUUACGCUCAUGAACGAUAAGGAUGUUCGUAACAUGCAUCAAAUACAUGUGAACUUAAAUGCGGCAGUGAUCGAGAUGGUUGUUACUCAUUCUCUAAGCUUGAUCGAUGCUGCUGAUGUGGUAAUCAAUACGAGCUAUUCCAUAUUUGAAAUUUUAUUUUGUUCAUUUGAAGCUAAAAGAACAUUAAUAAGUGUGCUGAAAUUAUGUUUAUCGUUUUGUAUGGACAGUGGCUCAUCCCAUGGUGCUGAAAUUAGUUGGAGAUCCAAAAAUAUUUCAAAGAGUAGCUCAAUUAAUUUUGUCCAAGUUGUUGAAGAAACAAGAGCUGCAAUUGAAAAGAAAGAAAGUCAAAAAAAUUUCUUGGAUGCUUGGAAAAGCUGUAUAGAGGGCGUUGGUCAGGAGUUCAAGAAUGUCGAAACUCUUCGUGACACCAUUCACAACUUUUGUAUCGCAAAUUGCAGAGAUUUUGUGUUCAUGAAGAACGAUCGUGAGUGAGUUACUGUGGAAUGUGCAUAUGAAGAAUGUGAAUGGCAUAUCCAUGCUUCUCGACUUGGUAAUGGUGAAAAGUUUGCAAUUAAAAAAAUGAACGGUAACCAUACAUGUGGAGGAGGGAUGCAAGUCCGGUCGCAUCCGAAGGCUUCAAAACGUUGAGUUUCGAACAUUGUUAAAGAUAAACUUCAAGAUAUGCCAUUAUAUAAGCCGACUGACAUUGUAAAAGAUAUUCGUCGGAAAUAUGGUGUUCAAUUGCCGUAUCAUCAGGCUUGGAAUGGUAAGGAGCUGGCUAUGAAGGAGAUUUAUAGUGAUAGAUCACUAUCUUAUGACUGAAUUUGGUGGUAUUGCGACGCCAUUGUUCAAACCAACCCCGGCAGUAUUGCAGAGUACGAAAUAAUUGAAGGUCGAUUCAGACGUCUGUUUAUUUAUUUUCAUGCUUCACUAUUGGGUUUCAUAAAAGGAUGUCAACCUUUAAUUUUUAUGGAUGAGAUAUUUAUAAAACAUAAGGAUGGAGGUGUAUUGCUUGGCGCCACUGCCAAAGAUGACAAUGAUGAUAUGUUUUCUAUAGCUUAUGGUGUGGUAGAUACAGAAACUGAUGAAAACUAGGAAAGAUUUUGCCGGAUUUUCAAAGAAGCUAUUCAUAGUUGCAGUGAGUACCGUGGUCAAAAGUUGACAUUUAUGGCAGAUAGACAUCAGGAAAUUAUUAAAUCGAUGCCGAAGUACUUUUCUGGUUGCUACCACUUAUAUUGUAUUCAUCAUGUGAAAGAAAACUUUAAGAAUCAGGUUUGCAUCAUAAUAUUCUAAAUAAUUUAAAGUAGAAAGUAUCUAAGUAAUAUACCAUCCGAUAUAUCUGAUAUUUAAUUGUGAUCGCAAGUAAUUGUGUAUUAUCAUGCAGCUGACAGAAGAGGCUGCUUGAUUUACUAAAUACUGUUGCGUAUACUCCAAGGCUUAAUGUUUUUCAAAAGCUAAUUGGAAAACUUACAUCAGAAGCCCCUAGUGCUUCCACUUUUCUCCUACAUGCCAACCCCGAGGAUUGGGCAAAUGCAAUUUUUCCAGGUCCACGCUGGGGCACUACGACAUCUAACGUGGCUAAGUGUUUUAAUAGUUGGAUCUUGGAGACUCGUCAUCUGCCCGUCCCUCAGAUGGUUGACCAUAUCAGGCUUCAAAUUAUGCAGAUGAUGCAUGAACGGCAUAAUCAAGGAUAUAGCAUUCAAACCCACCUAUGUCCAGAUGCUGAGAAAGUGUUACAUAAAAAUGCAGAUGACGGUCGGAGAUAAUCCGUGUUUACAUCCAACAUAAUGAUAUAUGACGUAAAGGAUACAAACUACUCAUGCAAAGUUGACCUCCAGAAUUGCAGCUGCUCUUGUGGCGAGUGGCGAAUCUUCGGCAUGCCAUGUAAGCAUGCUUGUGCUUGUAUCAAGAAGGCCGGCAGAUCAUUGUACCAAUUCAUUGACAUUUGGUUCCAAGCUGAAUUGUAUAGAGCAACAUAUGACGAAGCAAUUAGUCCAAUUCCUGAUAUUGAGGAGCCGCACAGUGCAUCUGAAGAGAUUUACAUUCUACCCCCUAUGACAGACACAUCCUGGCAGGCCUAAAAAGAAGAGAAGACCUUCUCAAGUUGAGUUAGUACGUGAUAUGAGAUAUGGACGAUGCGGGAAGCUUGGGCACAACAGAAGGACAUGUAAUGAGGUUAUAGUGUAAACAAUAUGGUGCUCUAGUUUACAUUGAAGGUAUGGAACACUUGGCACAUCCUUGGCACACCUUUGGCACACCAUGGCAUACAGUUUCAAUCCCAUGGCACGCCAUGGCACACCAUGUGUUGCUGGAAAUUGGACCCGGGGGCCGCCGCGAAACCGGGGAAGGAGGAGCUCCGCUGCUACAGGGGGCGGACGGCGGUGCGCCGGCCGGCUGCGUCCUCCACCGUGGGGCGUGGGAGCGUCCGAAGAGGGGUGGUGCGUCCAGUCCUGUCCUGUCCUGCAAAAAAGCCGGUGGCCGGGCUUCCCGGCGCCGGCCCUCCGAUGCCUAAGUCAGAGGGGGCAAGUAUGUGGAGAGAGCAGGGAGGAGAGUAUGUGGAGAAGACACAGAGGAUAUUUGGAUAAGAUCAAGAAGAUGAAAGGGAUGGUGUCAUCAAUUGUGUCUGUGCUUCCUCCCACCCCGUCCCGGAGGGUUCAGUCCGGGGAGUUUUUGUUAGGGGUUUCUUAGAGUCCAGUCUCGAGGGUCCUCUCCCUCUUCCCCCCAGGCUUCCUUUUAUAAAAGGAUUUGGUUACCUGGGAGGUGACAGGAGGUUUGUCCUGUUCUGUGAUAAUUGGGCACGAUUUAGCCCAUUAAUGGCGUAGUGGAGAACGGGAUCGGAUCAGACCGGAACCAGGGAGUUGUCACGGUCGAUCGGACCUGUUGGAGUUGUUGAACCGCCGGCCGUGGUGGGCCUGGGGUCCGUGGAUGGUAAGUGCAUUUAUUACCGAAUGAACCGGCGGUCAGGUAGAGCCAUACGCUCUGAUGGUUCAGUGAUCCGAAGAUCGUCUUNNNNNNNNNNNNNNNNNNNNNNNNNNNNNNNNNNNNNNNNNNNNNNNNNNNNNNNNNNNNNNNNNNNNNNNNNNNNNNNNNNNNNNNNNNNNNNNNNNNNNNNNNNNNNNNNNNNNNNNNNNNNNNNNNNNNNNNNNNNNNNNNNNNNNNNNNNNNNNNNNNNNNNNNNNNNNNNNNNNNNNNNNNNNNNNNNNNNNNNNNNNNNNNNNNNNNNNNNNNNNNNNNNNNNNNNNNNNNNNNNNNNNNNNNNNNNNNNNNNNNNNNNNNNNNNNNNNNNNNNNNNNNNNNNNNNNNNNNNNNNNNNNNNNNNNNNNNNNNNNNNNNNNNNNNNNNNNNNNNNNNNNNNNNGUUGGGUUAGUUCGGCAGCAGAGGGGACCACAGCAGCUAUUUCCCUCUGCUAGUUCUUCAGAUCAGGGGAGGAGUAUAGCAGAGUUCAGAAAGUUGGCUCCUCCGGCCUUCAAGGGAACUACCGAUCCCCAAGAGGCCGAAUGUUGGAUAGAUGAGAUGGAGAAGGCCUUCAGGGCCAUGGGUUGUACUGAGGAGGAGAAGAUCAGAUUUGCCACCUAUAUGCUUCAGGGCCGGGCUCAUCAUUGGUGGGAGUCUGUAGAGAGGACCAUGAUGCAGGAUGCAGGAUCUGUGACCUGGCCGGGAUUUCGCAUGGCCUUCUACGUAUUUCCCUUUCAGUCGUAUCAGGGAGCUGGAGAGGGAGUUUCUGAGCCUCUCUCAGGGGAGUAUGACUGUGGAGGACUAUGAGGCUGAGUUUAUCGGUUGUCCCGUUUUGCACCAUCUCUUGUCCAAGACCCUAAAUCUAGGAUGAGUAGAUUUGAGGAAGGACUGAGGCCUCGCCUGCGUCAGGGAUUAGCUGCUGUUCACUCGACUGAUUAUGAUGACCUAGUUGAUAGAGCUAAAAAUAUGGAGAUCAUCUGGAAGGAGACACAGGAUGCUCAGAAAGGAAAGUCGAAGAGGACCAGGGACUUUGAUUCUGACGGUGAGCGGCAUCUGCGCCGACCUAUACAGUUCCGUCCAGGAGCAGGGCAGCGAGUUCCACAUGGGAGGACUGCACCGGAUCGCAGGGGGAUAUCAGGAGUGUGCUUCAGGUGUGGCCAAACUGGACAUAGAGCUGUUGAGUGUCUUCUGACACGGCCUGGUAUUGGGGCAUCUUUCAGGUGUGGUCAGCAGGGCUACCGGAUAGCUGAGUGCCCUCAGACUCAGACUGUUUCUGGAGUUUGUUUCGGAUGUGGUCAGCCGGGUCACAGGAUUUCCAGUUGUCCUCGUACUAGAUCUACGCAGAGGCCACCGAGUUCUGUAGCUCCUCAACGACAGACUUCCUUCACUCCAGUACAGGCUACCCAGUCAGCUGUCCCCAGGCAGCAAAAGAAAGGAGGGUCUCGUACCCAGGGACGAGUUUAUGCGCUGACUCAGCAGGAUGCUCAGGCAUCCAACACUGUAGUGACAGGUACACUAUUGGUAUCUUCCACUUAUGUUUAUGUGUUAUUUGAUUCUGGUGCUACGCAUUCUUUUAUCUCAUCUUCAUAUGUGCAUAAGUGCGAUUUACACUACUCUUCCUUAGAGAGGGAAUUAUGCAUUAGUACUCCAGCUGGGGGUACGAUGACAGUUAGUCAGAUCUGCAUUUCCUGUCCAGUACUAGUUGAGGGUAGAGAUUUGAGAGCUAAUUUGAUUGUUAUGAAUCUGCAUGAUUUUGAUGUAAUCUUGGAUAUGGAUUGGUUGGCUGCAUACCACGCUACCAUAGACUGUUUUCUGAAGAGGGUGACCUUCCGGAUCCCGGAUAUUGAUAAGUUCAGUUUUAUGGGUGAUGACUGGGGUGUCUCUUCUCAGAUAGUACCUGUUGUGCAGGGCAUAAGAUCUCUUAGAAAGGAGUUUCCCAUCUUUAUGGCCGCAAUUGCAUAUUCUGAACAGUCUGAACAGAGAAUUAAGGAUAUACCAGUAGUCAGUGAGUACCCUGAUGUCUUUCCUGAUGAUCUGCCUGGCUUACCUCCUGAUAGAGAUGUCANNNNNNNNNNNNNNNNNNNNNNNNNNNNNNNNNNNNNNNNNNNNNNNNNNNNNNNAAUGGCCCCUGCUGAACUAAAAGAGCUGAAGGACCAAUUACAGGAGCUAUUGGAUCUGGGUUUCAUUCGACCUAGUGUCUCUCCUUGGGGUGCCCCAGUAUUAUUUGUAAGGAAGAAAGAUGGUAGCAUGAGACUGUGUAUUGAUUACUGAGAAAUCAAUAAGGUGACUAUUAAGAAUAGGUACCCUCUACCCCGGAUCGAUGAUUUNNNNNNNNNNNNNNNNNNNNNNNNNNNNNNNNNNNNNNNNNNNNNNNNNNNNNNNNNNNNNNNNNNNNNNNNNNNNNNNNNNNNNNNNNNNNNNNNNNNNNNNNNNNNNNNNNNNNNNNNNNNNNNNNNNNNNNNNNNNNNNNNNNNNNNNNNNNNNNNNNNNNNNNNNNNNNNNNNNNNNNNNNNNNNNNNNNNNNNNNNNNNNNNNNNNNNNNNNNNNNNNNNNNNNNNNNNNGAUAUUCUAAUAUAUUCAAGGAGUCAGGCAGAGCAUGAGCAUCACUUGAAGAUUAUUUUGAGACUCUGAGGCAGAAUCAGUUGUAUGGUAAAUUAAAGAAAUGUGAAUUUUGGUUGGACAGGGUGAUGUUUUUGGGGCAUGUUAUCUCUAAGGAAGGAAUUAUGGUUGACCCAAAGAAGAUUGAAGCUGUGGUUGAUUGGAGCAGACCGAGUAAUGUGUCUGAGAUUCGCAGCUUCCUUGGACUAGCUGGUUAUUACAGAAGGUUUGUGGAGGGCUUCUCUACUAUUGCUGGACCCCUGACUCGACUCACUCACAAAGGAGUGAAGUUUGAAUGGUCGGAUCAGUGUGAGAAAAGCUUCAAGGAAUUGAAACACCGUCUAGUAUCAGCACCUAUUCUGACCCUACCAGUUACCGGUACUGAUUUUACCAUUUACAGUGAUGCUUCCAAGAAGGGUUUGGGUUGUGUGUUAAUGCAAAAUGGGAAGGUUAUUGCUUAUGCCUCCCGACAGCUUAAGCCCUAUGAAGAGAAUAUCCCACUCAUGAUCUUGAGCUUGCAGCCGUGGUUUUUGCCUUAAAGAUCUGGAGACAUUAUCUUUAUGGAGAGACUUGCCAGGUAUUCACUGAUCAUAAAAGUUUGAAAUAUCUCUUCACUCAGAAGGAGCUGAACAUGAGACAGAGAAGGUGGCUGGAAUUGCUGAAGGAUUAUGAUUUAUCUAUUCAUUAUCAUUCUGGGAAGGCAAAUGUAGUAGCAGAUGCUCUAAGUAGAAAAUCUUCAGGAAAUGUUGCAGCCUUGAUUACUACUCAGAGAAAUAUCCUGGAAGAUCUGAGGAGGGCAGAAAUAGAGGUAUAUCUGCAUGAUGCUACCCUGAAGUUGGCAAACUUACGGGUCCAGCCUACACUCAUUGACAGAAUUAAGGCAGCGCAAGUGGAUAACUCUCGGCUCCAGAAGAUCAAGAAAGACGUUGAGUCUGGAUCUCAGUCUGAUUUUCAUAUACAUGAGGAUGGCUCAUUGAGGUUCAUUAGCAGAGUUUGUGUACCAGAUGAUCCUAGUCUGAAGAAGGAAAUUAUGGAGGAGGCUCACAGUACUGGAUAUACAGUGCAUCCUGGUAGUACAAAAAUGUAUAGGGAUCUGAAAGUUGUGUUCUGGUGGAACAAUAUGAAGAGAGAGAUUGCCCAGUUUGUAUCUCAAUGCUUAACUUGUCAGCAAGUUAAGAUUGAGCAUCAGAGACCAGCUGGUAUACUUCAGCCCCUUCCGAUCCCAGAGUGGAAGUGGGAGCAUAUUACUAUGAAUUUUGUGUCAGGGCUACCUCGUACCCUCAGAGGUAACGAUUCAGUCUGGGUGAUUGUAGACAGAUUGACCAAAUCAGCACAUUUCCUAGCAUUUAAGACUGGGAUGACACUAAAGAGAUUUGCAGAGUUGUACAUUGAACAGAUCGUACGGCUGCAUGGAGUUCCAGUAUCUAUAGUGUCUGACAGAGACUCCCGAUUUGUGGCUCAUUUCUGGGGCAGUUUGCAUAAAGCUUUGGGGACCAUUCUUAGCUUCAGUACAGCUUUUCAUCCACAGACAGAUGGACAGUCCGAGAGGACCAUUCAGAUUUUGGAGGAUAUGCUGAGAGCCUGUUCUAUUGACAUGAGGGGUUCUUGGGAUCAUCAUUUGCCGUUGGUAGAGUUUGCCUAUAAUAAUAGCUACCAGGCAAGUAUUCAGAUGGCUCCUUAUGAGGCUUUGUAUGGUAGGAAGUGUAGAUCACCUAUCUGUUGGGAUGAUAUGGGGGAGAGGAAAAUUCUGGGUCCAGAAAUUAUUCAGCAGACAGUGGAGAAGGUUCAGCUGAUCAGAGAGCGACUUCGGGCAGCUCAAAGCAGACAGAAGAGUUAUGCUGAUAUCAGGAGGCGGGAUCUGGAAUUCCAAAUCGGAGAUCAUGUUUUUCUCAGGGUGUCCCUUCUAAAGGGGUAAUGCGAUUUGGAGUUCGGGGUAAGCUCAGUCCGAGAUAUGUGGGACCAUUCGAGAUUCUCGAGAGAGUUGGAGCUGUUGCUUAUAAGCUGGCACUUCCGCCUGCUUUAUUGGGGGUUCAUUCUGUUUUCCAUGUCUCUAUGUUGAGGAGGUAUAUUGCUGAUCCCAGUCAUAUGAUCGAAGUGGCACCUUUGCAGCUCCGAGCAGAUCUUUCUUAUGUUGAGUAGCCUAUCCGUAUAGUGGAUAGGAAGGACCAAGUUUUUAGGAGGCGCACGAUUUCUUAUGUAAAGGUGCAGUGGAGCAAUCAUAGUGAGAGAGAAGCUACCUGGGAACUGGAGGAGAAGAUGAGAGAGAAGUUUUCUGCCUUGUUCUCUGAUUGAGGAAUGUUUUAAUUUCGAUGACGUAAAUUUUUUUUUAGUUGGUUAGAGUGUAAAGACCUGAAAUUGGGCCCGUCCUUGGGCCUAAUGAACUGAAGUCGGCAAUGGAUGCCGACUUCAGUCUGUUCAUCGUGGUCUUCCCACGAUGACCACGCCGGCCGAACGGCCAGCGGAUUUCCCCCCCUCCCCCGCAAAUCUUUCUCUCUCUCUCUCUCUCCCUCUCCCUCUUUCUCUUCUCUGAGAACCCCAUCCCAGCCCAUCCCUUCCCCCCAUCCCUCUAAAAAAAAAAAAAUCCAANNNNNNNNNNNNNNNNNNNNNNNNNNNNNNNNNNNNNNNNNNNNNNNNNNNNNNNNNNNNNNNNNNNNNNNNNNNNNNNNNNNNNNNNNNNNNNNNNNNNNNNNNNNNNNNNNNNNNNNNNNNNNNNNNNNNNNNNNNNNNNNNNNNNNNNNNNNNNNNNNNNNNNNNNNNNNNNNNNNNNNNNNNNNNNNNNNNNNNNNNNNNNNNNNNNNNNNNNNNNNNNNNNNNNNNNNNNNNNNNNNNNNNNNNNNNNNNNNNNNNNNNNNNNNNNNNNNNNNNNNNNNNNNNNNNNNNNNNNNNNNNNNNNNNNNNNNNNNNNNNNNNNNNNNNNNNNNNNNNNNNNNNNNNNNNNNNNNNNNNNNNNNNNNNNNNNNNNNNNNNNNNNNNNNNNNNNNNNNNNNNNNNNNNNNNNNNNNNNNNNNNNNNNNNNNNNNNNNNNNNNNNNNNNNNNNNNNNNNNNNNNNNNNNNNNNNNNNNNNNNNNNNNNNNNNNNNNNNNNNNNNNNNNNNNNNNNNNNNNNNNNNNNNNNNNNNNNNNNNNNNNNNNNNNNNNNNNNNNNNNNNNNNNNNNNNNNNNNNNNNNNNNNNNNNNNNNNNNNNNNNNNNNNNNNNNNNNNNNNNNNNNNNNNNNNNNNNNNNNNNNNNNNNNNNNNNNNNNNNNNNNNNNNNNNNNNNNNNNNNNNNNNNNNNNNNNNNNNNNNNNNNNNNNNNNNNNNNNNNNNNNNNNNNNNNNNNNNNNNNNNNNNNNNNNNNNNNNNNNNNNNNNNNNNNNNNNNNNNNNNNNNNNNNNNNNNNNNUUUUUGGGAUUUAGUUUACUUGUUCUAGGGUCUAUGUUUGAUUUUGGGGAUCCAUUCUUGGAUCUAUGAACUUAGGAGUUUAAGAGGUUGGAAUUAAUUUAAAUUAUGUUUCUUAAUUAAUUAAAUAAUUAAUAUUUAUGUUUAAUCAGGGGUUCGUGAUAUCUGUGGCAGGGAUUUUUAACGAGCCCAGGUAGGUGACCUAUUGCUUUAAAGUAGAAUUUUAAUAUGUAUCUUGCAUAUGUCGAUGUUAUGAUUUAUUAUUGGCAUUAUGUGUUAGAUUUAGAAUUAAAUAUUUAAUUUCAUAAAUUGUUAUGUGCUUUACUGUUGGGAGUAUGAUUAUGACUUUGAUAUAGAAAGUUGAUUUAUUGAUUUUUAAAAUCCGCGUGACUAUAGUCUAGGCCCCGCCAAUGGGAUGAUACGUUGGCCCUGUCGACUUGUACUGAGGAACUAGUUCCGACACCGCGACCAUCGGUGAUAGAAUAGUGGCGGCACAGGGGUGCGUUUUGCUCUUCGGAGCGGCUCGGUGGAGCGUGAGUUUGGCACCAGGAGGUGCGGCAUAGUGGUGCGUUGGCUCAGUGGAGCAGCUCUUCGGAGAGUUGUAUUGGCACUUCGGUGUAACCAUGCCACUGGGUGAUGUGGCCGUAGUCAUGCGGUUGAGUUAUUUUGAGUCUUGGAUUGGGUUUACGGGUUAUCGUGUGGAUUUUUGGAUUUAUGAGUUUUAGUUGCUUUUCAUAUGUAUCAUGACAUGUUAUAUGAUGACUUUACUGCAUGAUGUUGCCUACUGAGCUGUUAGCUCACUCCUACUAUUUACAUUUUUUUUUACAGGUGAUGAUAUAUGACUAUGGGGAUUACGGGAUGGAGUGAUCAUGAUGUAUUUAGCUAGUGGAUAUUGACUUCUCCUUUGACAUUUGCAUAUGUAGACAUUUGAAUUGAAAGUUGGAAUUUAUCUUUAUUUAGCUAUUGAUGUUGGAUCUGAUCUAUCUGCCUUGCGUGCCUGCGGGGUCCGCCCUGCAGGUGCGCGGCGUCUGCUUGCGCCCCGGGCCCCGGGUUCGGGGCGUGACAUACAUAAUAGAACUCCCACCUAGUAUACAAAAGAGGGCACCAUACGGUACAGAGAUGUGUGCAUGUGAAAGAAGAGUGAGAUAAGGGGGAUGGGAAGAGAGAUACCAAGAACUGUCUUUUGCUAGAAAGGUUGUGCCAAAACGCUGCAAAUAAACAUGCAUGAAAGAGGAGACUAUCCUCUGUUCUCAAAAAAAAAAUGCCAUUUGGUUUACUUCUUCCUUAGUCUUAAAUGUUGUUUGUUGUCAUUAGUAAAACUAGUCCUUUGUUUAUGAUAUUAUUUUAGUCCCAUAAAAAAUCUUCGCACAAAAUGCACCAGUUCCUACAACAUAUUUUCUCAGUCAUAAGACAUUCUGCACCCGUGCACUCUGUUCCUCAUGCAUUAUCCCUCUCCUCACCCUACCAUGUCUCUAAGGGAUGACACAUUAACUUCCCCAUGUCCUGUGAUCCUGGAACUGGGGUUUCCAUACGCUGUCUGAAAACCUCUAAUAAGCGAAAUGCUUUUGAUAUAUAAGCAUAUUUAAAAAGAAUAAUUCAAUGAUACAGGACUGAUAAGUCAAGAAGGGAGAAAGGAAAACAAAUUUCAAACAAAAUAGGGCUAAUUUGAGUGGCGAUUUACCUUUUUGACUGGACUCAUUUGCAGCAAUGACAAAGUUUAAAAUGUAAAUGCAAUAUUGCAACAUCCUAAUCAGUUUUUCCAGAAGGAAAAAGUUCAUAAGUGAACAAGUGGUCAGUUGAAUAUGUGACUCCUUUUCUUUUAAUGCAUACUGGCAAGCUGCACAUCAUGCUAAUAGUAGCUGAAGCAGUUGAUAGGAUAAUAGGAAAAUCUCUCUCUCUCUCUCUCUCUCUCUCUUAGAGACACAAGCAUUGGGUGCUGUUUCGGUACCGGGCUUCGUACUGGUGCCACCCUAUCACUAUGUCGGUAUUGGCCGUACGGAAGCUGGUUCAGCGUACUGAGUGUCGAUACACCUUCUGUACCAUGUACCGGCACCAAACUGGUACAUCCCAUACUAUUCGGUUCGGUAUAGUAUGACGUACCAUAGGUCCUAUAUUAAGAUGAAGAAGAAUAGUUGCUUUUUUGUGAUGUGUUGCUUUAAAUUCUGCAAAAAAAAAGAGUCUAUCCUCUGAAGUUUGAGGACGAAAAACAUUAACGAGAACUCAGCCAAAUCCAAAGUUUGAGGUCUAACAUUAUUAGCAUAUACACUAUGUUUUGCUAUUUCGAAAGGAAGAUAUAAUGGGAAUCGAUACAUCUAUCUUUUGCCUUCAACUUUGUUGACAGAGAGGAGCAUCAAGAGGAGUAUAUAUGUUAAGAAAUGGAGCGUGUUUAUAAUAGGACUCGAAAGUUUUAAAUACCAUUGGAUAGGGUUGUCCCAGUUUUUCCAUGAAACAGGACACCCUGUAUACUGACAUUCAGGAUGGUGGAUGCCCCAUCCCGUCCCGGUCUAUUUCCCGACUUCCAGUCUGAACACCUGGGAUGGGGGGAUGCCCCACUAUCCAAUUGGUAUUUAAAACCUUAACAGGACUCACAGGAAUAGAGUUUUUCAUCUAGAGAAAAGCCCUUCCUGCCAAUGCCACAGAAUUUUCAGCUUCAGAUUGAAAAGAUCAGUACAGUUAUAAAAAUAUACCAGAAAAAAUAUUCUUUUAACUAAAUACUAUCAGAUUUUUCCAUGUUUUCUGAGCUUUACACCAUUGUAAAUGCAACCAUAUAUGACCUUCGAAGAGCUUAGGUAGUCAUGCAGACAUAAAGUGCAAAAAAUGAGAUAAAAAGAAAAAACAAAGGGGGAAAACAUACAUAUCAACAGAAUAAAAUGCACCAAGCAGAGCAUAAACAUGUCUAUAAGGCAAUAAGACAACCUUAUAUGCAUUAAAAUAUUUGUUAUGUUUAGCAUCUUAUCAUCAAGUUAUUUUUGGCAUGUCAUUAUCAAGUUAUACAUUCUAAAAGCAAUCUAACAUUAGAAGACAUAUUCAUGACUCAGGCAUAAUUUAAGAAUUAGUACCUCGUAAACGGUAGGCAACACUUAGGUUGUGCAUAAAAGGAUAGACUAGAAGCCGUUCGGAUGCUGUUGUACAAUACCCAAUUAACCUUAGAAGAUUUCUGUGCACAGCUACACUUAUCAAUUCAACUUCAUGCAAAAAAGCAGCUUCCCCUCCAGGAGUUCCAUGAUUGGUCAGCCGUUUUACUGCAAUUUUUGUAUUGUCUGCAAGCAUUCCCUUGUAUACCUUCCCGAAACCUCCCUUCCCAAGAACAUUUCUCUCAUUGAAGCUAUCUGUUGCUAUUUGUAGUUCAUGCCAUCCAAAUAUUUUCAGUUGUCCAAAUGCAAUUUUAGGUUCAUUUUGCCCUUAAUAUCAAAGUAAGAAAUAAAUCAUCAGAAAUCAAGUACAGCAUCGGUUAACAGAAGAAUUGAACUUUCAGCUCAACUACCAAAUAUGUGCACCAACACAGUAACUCUGACCAACAAACUUUACCUAUCUGUGAUGAAAGUAAAUCAAACACCAAAAGUUUUCAGACAUUUCUAUGCAAAACAACUAAAUGGUUUUCUGUCUAUUUUUAAUGAUGAUGCAAAAGAAUUGAAAAACCAAAAUGAUAAGUAAAAUGAUUGAUCGGAUGCAACGAAGAGUAACAGCAUGUAAGAAACUUCUGAAUACAGAACAGGUAUGCGGUGAUACUAAAUUGAGAUGGUUCUUCAAAACAAGUUCAACUAAAUCAAGCAUUAAAAUAAAAAAAUAAUUUACAGAAUAAACAGACCAAAGACCUGCAACAUCAACAAAAACUUCGUUUCGACGACUUUUCAUCCUACUCUUCCAUUUAAGAUAUAGAACCCCUGCAAGAAGAAGAACUAUUACUCCAAUGCUUCCACGCACCACUUCCACCUUUACAUGAUUGGAUCCUUCUGCAAAGAUUAUGACAAGUCAUGAGGUAUGAUACCCAGAACCAAAAUAAAGAAAUGAUCAAAUUGGCUUACUUUGAUCAGAUACAAUGGAUACACAAGGAUGUAAGUUCGUGCCACAAUUUAGACGGUUACCAGUAAAACUGCACAAAGUACCAAAACAAAAUAAACAGCUGACAUUGGAAACAUGAAACAAUAUGGAUCUCAUAAUAUUACUUUAAAGUGAUCGCAUCCAUAUCUAAUAUUAAAGAGAAUUGACCAUACUUGUAUCUGGAAAAUUUAAAUAGUCGGUCGGGUAUCUGACCACUAAGAUCAUUGAAUGCAAGACUACUGCCAUAACAGAUAAAUUGCUGUUAAUUUAAAAUAUAUAAAGCGGAAAUCUAGUUGUAGCAUUUAUGUGCGCAUGCGUGCAUGAGUGCUGUGUGUGUAUAAAUACAUACUUAAAUAAACACAAAUAUACAUAAAUGAUGAUCAGAGAUAAUGAUUGUGAUGGCCUGGUCAAGGCCCGGUCCUCUUGACCAUCCUGACCCGAGCUUGGCCCAGCCCAAGCUUACAUCAAAAAAAAAGGUAAAACAGAAAGGAAGACUCCCAUCUGUCCGGCUCACGAUGGGAGUCGACUUUCGAGAGCCAAAGGAGGCUUGUCUCCUCUAUAUAAGCACCUCCCCACCUCUCUUGGUCCUCCACCGGCGAUCAUCGAGCUCCUUUCUCUCUCUUUUCUCCCGUCGAGUUCACGGUUGCAUGUCUUCGUGUUUGCCGGAAAUCAAGGCUGCCGGACGCCUCCAAAGCCGAGGUAUUGCCCUAGCGUUCCUCCCUUUUCCUUCUUCUUCCUCCCACGACCCGACAUCACGGCCGCCAGCCGAGAAAUCGACUGGAAACCGCUCGAGAAAAAGGAUUCUCUAUUUUGCUCUAUUUCACCUCCUCUCUUUUUCCGACCACCAUUGCCGCCGACGUUCGUCACCGAGGGCCUUGGCCCCUUCCUUGCAUCGGCCCCAAGCCAAAGCCAAAAAGCAGGCUGGAAUUCGAAUGACCGAGCCAAUAAAUCUCCUUCUCGACCUUGUUUUUAGUUUGAUUUUUGGACGUCCAGCCGCCGCCGCCGGUCGCCCUCCACCUCAUGUCUCCAUCGCCUGCUGCCGCCCGCCGGACCUCGACCACGGCUGCCACCUUGAACCACCCACUUGCUUCCAAGAAAGAAGAAAGAAAGAAGAAAGAAAAGAAGAAAAAGAGGAGAGAGAGCCAUCCCUCUCUUUUUUUUCUCUCUUCCUUCCCUCUCAUCUCCUUUUUUUUCUAAGAAGACUCAUGGACCUAUGAACUGGUCCUAUCUUCCUGUCUUAUGGACCCGGGUGGACCCCCACAAAGAGGCCCUGAAUUGCCCUGGUGCCUGGUGCUUGGGAUGUCUACUGGACCGAUCAUCCCAGCCUUGUUAAGUAUUUCUGAAAUUCAUUGAUGAUAAACCCUGUCGAACGACCUUGGCCCUGAUCGAGUCCAUACCCCAUGAUUUAUUGAUUGAGUUGCUUAGACCUAACCUGUCUGGAGCUACCUGACCAACUGUCUUCUUUUCUUAUUGUUUUAAUUUAACUAAAAUCAUCGAACAAAAAUUAAUUUUACUUUUAAUAUUUUUAAAUAGGGUUAACAGAUUUGCCUAGUAAAGUUUGACGGUUUAAAACAAAAGAAGUAAAUCUUAUACUCUUUACUAGUUUUCGAACUUGUCAGUAGAUCUUACAUUCUUUAUUUUUCAAAUGAUCAUAUUUUUCGCGCAUAAAAUUUGCUUGUGGAAAUAUCAUGCUUUUUUUAAAAUUAUGAAUUAACAUAUGUGUUAUGAAAAUCAUGCUUUAUUAUGAAAAAUAGUUUCAUAAAUAUUUUAAUGAAAAUAGCUUUUCCACAAGCAAAUUUUAUAUACGAAAAAACAUGAACAUUUGAAAAAUAAAGAGUAUAAGAUCUACUUACAAGUUCGAAAACUAGUAAGGAGUAUAAGAUUUACUUAUCUCUUUUGUUUUAGACCGUCAAACUUUACUAGGCAAAUCAGUUAACCUUAUUUAAAAACAUUAGAGGUAAACUAAUUUAUGUUCGAUGAUUUCAAUCAAAUUAAAACAAUAAGAAAAGGAGAUGGUUGGUCAGGUGAUAAUGUUCAGCGACUCCGGACGAGUCAGGUCUAAGCAACUCAAUCAAUGAAUCAUGGAGUAUGGACUCAAUUAGGGUCAACAUCAUUCAACAGGGUUCAUCAUCAAUGAAUUUUAGGGACACUUAACAAGGCCAGGAUGAUUGGUCCAGUAGGCAACUUGGGCACUAUGGCAAUUCAAGGCCUCUUUGCAAAAGUCCACCCAAGGAGAUAGAACUCAGUUCAUAGGUCCAUGGGUCUACUUAGAGAGAGAAAUAAGGAGAUCAGAGAGAAGAGAGAGAAAAUAAGAGAGAGAAAAAGAAAGGGAUGGCUCUCUCUCCUCCUCUUAUUCUUCUCUUCUUUCUUUCUUCUUUUUUUUUCCUUUUUGGAAGCAAGUGGGUGGUUCAAGGUGGCUGUCGUGGUCGAGGUCCGGCGGGUGGCAGCAGGCGGUGAAGACAUGAGGCGGAGGGUAGCUGGCUGCGGUGGUCGGUCAUCCAAAAAUCAAACUAAAAAUAGAGCCAAGAAGAAGAUUUAUUGGCUCGGUUGCUCUCGAAUCCCAGCCCACUUGCCGGUGGGUGGGGUUCUAGCUUUGGCUUGGGGCCAAUGCAAGGAAGGGGCCGAGGCCCUUGGCGACGAACGCCGGUGGCGAUGGUGGUCGGAAAAAGAAAGGAGGUGAAACAGAGCAAAAUAGAAAAUCCUUUUUUUCGAGGGGUUUCUGACCGAUUUCUCAGCUGGUAGUCAUGAUGUCGGGUCGUGGAAAGAAGAAGAAGAGAAGGGGAGGAAGGCUAGAGCAUUACCUCAGCUCUGGAGGCAUCCGAUGGCCCUAAUUUCCGGCAAACACGAAGACAAGCAGUCGUGAACUCGACGGGAGAAAAGAGAGAGAAAGGAGCUUGAUGAUUGCCGGUGGAAGACCAAGAGAGGUGGGGAGGUGCUUAUAUAGAGGAGACAAGCCUCCCUUGGCUCUCGAAAGUUGACUCCCACUGGGAGUCGGACGGAGAAGAAAACUUCGGAUGGGAGUCUUUCUCUCUGUUUUACUUGGUUUUUUUUAGAUGAGAGCUUGGGCUGGGCCAAGCUCAGGUCAGCCUGAUCAAGUGGAUCGGGCCUCGAUCCAGCCAUCACAAUGAUGAUCGUAUGAGUAUAAAUAUAUUUUUUUAUCAUUGCAAACUUCUAUACAUGUUUAUUGUCAUCACUGAUAAAACUUACACGUCAGAUAAGUUUGGGAGAUUUGAAAGAGAAUCAGGGAUACUUCCACUGAGGUCAUUUUGGCUCAAUAUCCUGCUUACCAUGUCACAAAAGUGCAAUUUCAGAUUAGGCUAGGGCUUCUCUAAGGUCAAUAUCAACAGCAUUUUUUUUUAUUUGCUGAGUAUAAAACCUUACUUACAAGUUUUCAAGUUUAGUCAGCUUGCCAAGAGUUUUUGGUAUCUCUCCACUCAAGUGGUUAUUUUCCAAAUUCAAAAUUGUCAAUCUUGACAAAUUUCCAAACUCCUCAGGAAUUUUGCCAGUUAUAUUGUUACCUGGGAACGACCUGCAUGAAUUAUGCAGCUUGAAAUAAUUACUUGCAUAAGGUCAGGUGCCAUUUCUGAAUAUCUACAUGUUAGUGAAUGAGAGAGGAGGGGGGGAGAGGGGGAGGAGAAGGACAUCAGGUACUAGAUGUCAACAAAACUCAGUCAUAGUUUCAUCAUUGUUAGAUAGAGAGUAUCCUUUAUGAAGUAAGAAAGUCAACAAUGUCACUAUGCCUGGGCACCAAGAAGAUAGGAGGAAUGUACUUCAAAAAUAUCAACUGAAUCUAUAAAAUUUCAUGUAGUCAUCUGUCAAUUUCAUAUGUAUUUUUCAACUUGAUAGAACUCGAAGAAGACAUCAAUAUCUUCAUCAAAUACUUAUACUUACAGUCCUUUAAGAUAUGAGAGUUCUCCAAUUCUAGGGGACAAGGUUCCAGUGAACCCAAUAGAAGGAAAUGAUCUGCAACAAAGCACAUCGAAAUGAAUUUGGUAGGCACUUAACUGAGAUGAGAAAGUUAGUUUUAAUACAAACUCAAAAAUCUAGGAAAUGAAGACGAGAGAUAUAGAUAAAAAAUCAAAAAAUAAAUAGAAGAAACUAAAAAAAAAGCUUACAUUUGCACAACAUCAUCACCAUCACAGUUAACAGAAGAAACAAAUAGAAGAAACUGAAAAAUAAACCUACAUUUGCACAACAUCAUCACCAUCACAGCUAAUAUACAUCCAUGCGCAUGGACUGACUUGAUUUUGGCUCCAACCAGAAAGCUGAUUAUCAGAAGCUUUAAGUGUAAGCUUCAAGUCUAUUAGCACAUCAACUGGAAAAAUUUGAAAUGACUAAUUAGUGUUCCUACAAAAAAGGGUAGGAAAAGAUAAAAAAAUAAAAAUACUAUGAAAAACAGGAGAUGGACUUGAACAUAGAUCUAAAGCAGUUCAUUAACAUUUUCCUGGAUAAAGUCAGUAUUCAGUAUUCACAUCCUGUGAAAAUAAACAUAAACAACUAGGUAAUGGACAUCCAAACAAGGCAAUCUUUUAUUCAUGUGCAUAGAAUUUUCUAUGUGACAGUUGAGUUUGCUGUCUGUCGAGGGUUUUAAGAACAGAGAACUCGUCCAUCUUAGUGGGUUGCCAAGACUGAGAUAUCGGUUAGUCUCAGCCAAGAUAGAAAGUUACGCAAAAUGGGAAAAGACAAAGAUUUGUUGAGAUCUCAGCCAACAUUAUAGGGACCAAUAUGCUGAUAUCUAGGUUAAUAUGUGAGACUAAUUGCCAGUUUACAACAUCAAUCAGAAUAUUUGAUAAUUAAUAUAAAUUUAAAACUUUAAAAGACUGAUUCGGAAAUCUGUGCUAAUAUUUAAUAUCAUAUUGUGCAAUAUAUCAGAAAUCAGAUUAUACCAGUUUAUAUCAUCAGAGAAUAUCAGGACAGGGAUACUGAUGACAUAGUAUUGGUGAGUAGCCAAUACCAGAAAAAAACUAAUAUCCUUGGCCAUGAUAAAAGCCUUCCUGUUUGGAUUUCCUUCACUAAGAUGCCCUCCCUAUCAAGUAUGGCAUCAUGGGCACAGAAAGGUAAUGCUCGGAUGCAACACAAGCAUGGCCAGAUGGGAUGUGAUUGCAACAUGAUGCAGGUGACAGUUCAUUCAGAACAUAGCCUAGUCCUAAACAUCUGACUAUAAACCUGAGUCUUGGUCAAUAGUACUUGCAAACAUCAAAGGAUGCACCACUGUGGAGUGGCAAUAUCAGUAGGUUAGGCAAAAAUUUUAAUCAGAAAAGCUAAAUAUAAUUAGAAAAAUGAACAAAGAAACUACAAGGAAAAUGAUAUGGCAGGUGACCUGCCAUAUCAUUUUAAAGAGAACAAACACAUGGAAGACCUAUGGGAUCGUGCAACUGUCCAAAUUGACAUAUGCUACUGCUCACCUUUAUAUGACAUGGCAGGUCAUAAUAUGCUGAGAACUGACACAUACAGUCAUAACACACAAUAUUGAGAAAACUUAUAUAAGAAGUCAUCUAGCCCCUUUUUGACUUUCAUCCAAGUCCCCUUCGCCUACCCCCUCUCCUAUCUUUUACAUGAAUGAAAAUUGAUAGCCCCACAUCCCACUCUCUCCACUUGGGAGCCCUCCCCUCCCUCUUAAACCCAUCCCCACCUUCCUUAGUGGCACUUUUUAUGGGUAUAAUGCACACAAAUCAUCUAAUAUAGUCUUCUCUCACUUCAUUGUGCCAUUCCUAAAUAUCUGCUAUCAAAUUUAUUUCCAACUCUACCUUUAGUCUUACAAUACAUGCAUCUCAUCAUUCAAUUUAUAUGCUGGUUAUCUAUCAUGUACUGUUUAUUGUUCGGCAUUCAAAUCCAUAUAAAGCUGGCAUAAUGAAUAUUUACUCAUUUACCUAUAAUAUCUAAUUGGUACUUCACUAUUGCAAAACCUUCAGGAGGAAUGUUUUAAAAACUUUCCCUAAAACCUUAACAUAUUUAAUGAAAAUGAAAAUUCCGAUUUCCAUUUUGGACAACAUGAUGAAUAGAGGUCUUAAAUAAUGCUCUUCUGUUUUAAAACAAGGAUCGUCUGGUCAUAUCAACUUGAUAGAUGGAGACCUUAAGAAUAUAUCCGAACAGGUUAAAAGCCUAAAAAGGGGAAAGAUUAGUCAAUCAAGACAGCAAUGAAUGAUUCUCUAAGAAUUCCUCAAAAUAAACACACAAAUCCACCAAUGUAACAAUUGGAACUCAGGAAUAGGUAAAAUAUAUACACCAGAGAGGGGUAUUAGAAAGUUGAACUUGAGCGAAACCCCCUUAAGCAUUCUCAGACGUACAUUUGACAUGCAAAACUGCUUACCAUUUGCCAGAACUACUAAAAUAGGCAUAUGUUACAUGUAAAGAAAAAAUAAUCAAAAUAAUGCACAUAUGCAUAAGAAAGUGACCAAUUUCCAAAUACAAAGACAAUGCUAAUUACAUGCCAAGGGUCACCUUAUACAUAAGUAUCUAAAAAAAAUGUAAAGUAGACAGAAAAGAAAACAAAAUUACCUUGAUCAGUAGAUGCAACAAAAGAAUGCAGAGAGGCCAGCAUAUUCAUUACAAAAGCCAACUUCAUCCUCUUUUUUUCUAACAUUACUCUCACUUGAAAAAUGAUCAAGAAUAAAUCCUCUUAAAGGAAGAAAGUCUCCUACAUAGCCAUGUGAUCAAGAAAAAUAAUUAAAAAAGUAAGAGACAAGUCAGGAUGCACUUGAAAGAUGGAUUAUUACACUUAUAUUUUGAACUAGCUAUUCGAGUUGAGCCCUUACUGAUGGCAGAUAGAGAAGUCACAAUGAGAGAACCUGUCAAAAAGGUUGAAUUUGUUAUAUACCCAAGGUAUUAAUUUUCAGCAGAAGCUGAAUCUGUUUCGGGCAAAAAGGAUGGGUAUCUGCAGAACAGGUGCAAAAUUGACUGAAAUUUUCAGUUCCAGUCAGUUUCAACAAGUUUCAGCUGAAACCAACCAAAACUAUGAUUUCCUUUCAAAAGCAUGUUGUUGGGAAGAUUUUAUAGACAUCAAGGUACCAAAUGGCUAUAAUACUAUAUAGCCGUUUUGGAAUAAAAAUAAGAUGUACAAAUAUUUGCUAUUGUAAGUCAUUUAAAUAUAACACUAGCAUAAAGAUGCAAGUAGAUAAUCAUAAUGACACUGUUUAUAACAAUCAGUAGGUGAGUAGCUAUUGUUUAAUCAAUAUUUUGAAAUUCAACAAAGAUUCUUAUGCAGCUGUAAAACAAAAGGUUGUAUUUUUUCCCUGCAAGGUCUCCUUGAUGUUACCACAUCAUCAAUGAUCUAGAGCUAUGAUAGGCUAUUGUUUUCAUGGUCUUAAUUUGUUGAUCAUAUAGGAAGUACAGCAAGCAAUUUGAUUUAAUUUAUAAUGCCAAAAAAGGUGAUGCACUAGAAAGUUGUAAGAAAGCUACAGCUCAAGAGCUACCUAUCUUUGGUGUCAUGAUGAUAAUGAACAUUAAUGUAAACACAGACAAUAUCAUUUGAUUGUGAUGAUUCGUUAACAAGAACCUGCCAUUGGCUAAGAUAAUCAUUAUUGUAAUUAAGUUAAAUUAGGUAAUUGGUGAAUUGACAGUACCAUUGGUCCUAUUGCAGUCAAUCUAAGAUAUUAACUGAACAUAAGCAAAUUGUCCCAAGCAUGUGCCAUAACAUGGACUUGUUAUUCUCCUGCCCAAAAUCCAAAUGCCUAUAUAGCAUUUGAAUCACCUUUCAUAGUUUAGUGUUUGAUGACUAUUCUAACAAUUCCUUGGAGCUUCAAGGCAAGACCAUGAUUCUAUUUGGGCUUUAGUCCCAUAUGGAACAAUGAAGCAAGAAAAGAACUUUUAUUGCCUCUUAUAGUACAAUACAUUCAAUUUACAAAUUGAUUAAAAAAAUGCUAGGUUCUACCCUUGAUACAAGAAAAUAUUUGGGUAAACUUUCAGCUUAAAACCACCCGAAAUCCACAAAUUCUGAUCCUAGAUAACUUAAACCAAACUAAACUGACAUGAAAUGACAUGUCUUUAUUUUUUGUAUAAUUUUCUCUAUUCUUGGUAUUUUAUUCUGAUUUUUUUAGCAAGACUAUGAAACUUCCAGACAAACCACCGAAACUGCUGGAAGCCAAAAGUCUACCCAGGGAAUGGGAAUGGAAAUUGAAACCAAGUAUUAAAACAUUCUAUCUUUUUAAGACACUUUCCUUGAGGCCACAUGGAAGAAUGUUUCAUGUGAUGAACAGGAAUCAGUAGGAAAAGAGAGAUGGUUGAAUGUUUCACUCAAAAAUAUCUUGAUAUGCAUAAAUGUCGAUUUUGUAUGAGUUAAGGGCCUUAAGGCAGUACUUCUAAGAUAAAUUAGUAAAAGGAGCUGCAGAUCUAACCCAAGCUGAGUAAAAUAACAAGCAUAAAAUCCCUUACCAAACCAUUGAAACAUAUUAUUCUGAUGUAGAUACAAAAUCGGGUCCCUUCACCACAUAUUGUAUAAUCCAAAAUCAAUGACUAGGAUCGAAACUUGGCUAUCGUUGUAGAUUUUUGAUUGAUAAGGCUUUUGAUUGAUGUGGUAUCAGAUAGAAGAGUGGUUUAUCUUGGGAGAUGCUGACCAUCUAAGGUUGCGCAGCUGGCAAAUAACGGUUCUUUAGGGACAGGGAAAAUGCACAUCAGAGCCCCACCAGUAUAUCAUCUUUGUUCCUCUCCAAUCAUGGCACCACGUUUCUAAAUUCUCAUUCACAUCACAUGGCCUGCACUCAUGAAUGCUUUGGAGAUUUUUUCCUUAUCAGUAAAUAAGCAAUUGUAUAAUAUCAUAAUAUCCAUUAAUUUGCUGAACAAGUUUGUGAGCUCUAUGUCAUGAAGGAUGCUUCCCCUUAGUCUUCACUAAUUAGGGCAAAUGUAAAGCGCAAGCUCAGUAAAAUAAUAUGUCUUCCUACCCUUAAUAUCUGGCCAAGUCUGGGUUGUUAGCCAGGAGAUGCUGGCAAAGAAAAGAGAAAAUAAGAAGACACACCAUGCAUGGUCAGCCAUCAAGAAUAAACCACAAUAUACCAACACAUUUUUUUCAAACAUCUACGAGUAAAUGCACAAAAAUGGUAUGUUAUCGGCAUAAUAAGGGUCUAAAUCCCUAGAUGGUUAAAGAAAUGCUUCCUCCUACACUAAAUCAAUUGCAAGAAAUGGAACUUUACCUGGACUAUUGAACGCAUACAUCAAAUUGAUACGAGGAGUUUUCUCCUGUGCCUAUUAAUAAGAGUGGGAAUCCGAAUCAUCGAUAAUAUUCUAAAAAUUCCAUUGCUCUCUGCAAGGGGAAAUUUUUUCAUAAGAAUCAAAUCCCUAGAAGGAAACAUCAAUUCCACAGAAAAACCAAAAGCCACUGUCUAUGAAGCACCAAACCAAACCAAGAUAUCAGAACAGGAGGGUUUCCAGUGACUUCUAUAACUCUGUUAGCUAAAACAUCAGUUCUAGUGCUACCCGAAAACCGACAGCGGACAAGAGUCCAACAUUUCAAUUCCAACAAUAAUCUACGAUUUGUGCAAGAACCGAUAGAUAUAAAGAAAGAAGGAAGCACGAUGAUUCAGAUUCAUAGAAAAACGAAAGAAACUGAAAGAGUGAAGAAGUUUACCGCCACCCGGGGGAGGAUGGACCGAAAACUUACAAAGGAUUAAGAGGGGUAGUUCUAUAUACACCCCCCCUANNNNNNNNNNNNNNNNNNNNNNNNNNNNNNNNNNNNNNNNNNNNNNNNNNNNNNNNNNNNNNNNNNNNNNNNNNNNNNNNNNNNNNNNNNNNNNNNNNNNNNNNNNNNNNNNNNNNNNNNNNNNNNNNNNNNNNNNNNNNNNNNNNNNNNNNNNNNNNNNNNNNNNNNNNNNNNNNNNNNNNNNNNNNNNNNNNNNNNNNNNNNNNNNNNNNNNNNNNNNNNNNNNNNNNNNNNNNNNNNNNNNNNNNNNNNNNNNNNNNNNNNNNNNNNNNNNNNNNNNNNNNNNNNNNNNNNNNNNNNNNNNNNNNNNNNNNNNNNNNNNNNNNNNNNNNNNNNNNNNNNNNNNNNNNNNNNNNNNNNNNNNNNNNNNNNNNNNNNNNNNNNNNNNNNNNNNNNNNNNNNNNNNNNNNNNNNNNNNNNNNNNNNNNNNNNNNNNNNNNNNNNNNNNNNNNNNNNNNNNNNNNNNNNNNNNNNNNNNNNNNNNNNNNNNNNNNNNNNNNNNNNNNNNNNNNNNNNNNNNNNNNNNNNNNNNNNNNNNNNNNNNNNNNNNNNNNNNNNNNNNNNNNNNUGCCGGCAACGAGAGGGAGAAGGGGAACGGGGGUUUGGCGUUGGCGAGGUGUUUUGGAGGGGAAGAGCGGGUGGGGGUUGGGGUGUAGAGAGCAAUUUAGGUGAGGGGUGGGAGGGUGGGGGUAAUUUAGGAAUUUUGAAUUUUUUAGGGGUGUCCUUUGCAAAUAGGGGGGUGUAGAGAGUAUUUAAUUUUUUUUAAUUUUUGGGGGGUGUCCUGAGCAAUAGGGGGGGUGUAUAUAGAACCACCCGAUUAAGAGGCUGCUAUCGUAAAUAAAUAUAGGGACAGCUAUCGUAAGCAGUAUGAUACGGGAUGCCAACCAGCCACAGAAAAUGUCCUAGACUACGUGGCAGACGGAGAUCGAUGAGAAAACGACAAUUCGUGGUCUUAGAAAGUACGAAAAAUUUAGCCAGGUGGAGAUUGUGCGACUCUCCGGCGCCUCAUAUGCCUUCCAAGCACGGCAAGACGGAAGGGAUAAAGGCCGGCGAAGACCAGGUUCCGACACUUUCCUCUUCUACAGGGACACAAGAUAGACUUACGAAAGGAGACUGAAGCCGUGGACCAGUGGGCCCCACACAAAAUCUGUGGUCUAUUUUGAGGCUGGUGGAAGGACGAUAGCUUGCGCAGGAUUUGGUUAUUUUACGAGGGUGCAUGAUAGGGGAGGGAAAAUUGGUCCGCGAAGAAAGGCUGGUUUUUUUUAUUUAUUUAUUUUGAUCCAGCGGCUCCUCACAGUACGCAUGCACUAGUGCAGCUAAUUAAAAAAAAAAUUAAGUAAAAGUUGGUGAAAAAAAAAAACUACAAAAUUUUUCUAAAAUGAUAAACAAUAUAAGAGGCAACCCAGCCAAUACCACUGCUCACUUUUCGAUGUACAUAAAAGAAACCAUAUUAAAAAAAAGGCAUUUUUUUAUGAAGCAUAUCACUGGCAUGAAUCCUGAGAAAGAUGCAUUAAGUUGUCUUUGAAAAGAGUUAUGAACAUGCUAUAUUUUUCAUUGUUUAGGCGUUGUUCAUCAAUGCUUUCCUAAAGAAAAGCAUAUCACUAGCAUGAACCUUAAGAAAGAUGCAUUAAGUAAUCUUUGAAAAGAGUUCUGAACAUGCUAUAUUUUUCAUUGUUUAAGCGUUGUUCAUCAAUGCUUUCUCAGUAGUGGUCCAUAAGAGACGUAGUAUGCACUCGCUCAACUUAGGAAAUUCACAUUCAUCAAGAGGAAUUUCUGGUUGACUAAUUAAUACACCAAGCACAUAGAGUAGCAAAGCAAGGCCUGCUAUGAUUACAUAUAAUGUUUCUGCUAUUCGGUUGUCCAAAACAGUGACAAAAUUAUUAUUUUUUUUUGUUAUGGUCAUUUAAUUAAGGUAGUUGCACGUGUUGCUCUUGCCCUAUUGUUGUGAAGUGACAUCUUUACUAUUAUAUUCGGUGUCUUGAAUUUAAGAUAUUUAUUAAAUUGCCUUUUCUCAAACAGUAUAACUCCUUGCCUCCGUCUUAGGGAGCUUCAAUCCUCUCUGCUCCAGAAAUCUUUUCUUUUUUCUCUGCCACACGCAAUACAUGUGCAAUUAACUACAUGAGAAAAAUGGUUGGAGAAUAAAAGAAUGAAAAACAAAAUAUUAGGCUAUAGCCUGGUGGGUGUGCUUCUUCGUGGAAAGGAGAUUGGUUUAAUACUGAUAGCGCUCGAAUUAAAUAAAAAAAAGGACAAGCUCCACCAAACUUAAAAAGAAUAUGAAGGGAUAGAACAGGCUUAGGAUCCGAAGGACCCUGUCCAAAAGAUGCAAGAAAGCAGAGGUGUCAAGAGUUCAUUGAAGGAGAUAGUUUAGGGGAUAGCAAGAUGGAAGUAGGCUGGCUCGCACUUUGUUGAAGUGGCUUUCCACGAGAGGAAAAGAGAUAAGGCCUCGUGUCGAACGUUCCUAAAGUUUUUCCUGCAAUUUUCAGAAAGUCAAUAUUGGGGGUGCUAUGCUCUAAUACUCUACAUAAAUAAUUUUAAUUUUUGUCUCCUUUACCGUUGUUCCAGAGAAGAAGAUGAGAAAGGCAACAAAGAAAAAGAGAAAAAAAAUCACUAGAAGGAGACAAGAAAGAAGCGAAACUUCUUGAUUGCCUUAUAGUUGUGAAUAUGGCUGGCGGAUUGCCAUUGUUGGAAAUGCUAAAUUUGGUUAGUUAAGUGAUUCAAUUUCUUUGCAUGAUAAGGUUCGCUUGAAUUUCUGUUCUUAAAACAAUUCGAUCGAUUUGUUCAACUAAUACUUUGAUCCAUCUUGCUCUAGUUGCACUCUUGUGAGACUCUGCGAUGGUAUUGCUUAAGUGAUUGAAAUUAUAAAGUUUUAGGAGUAUUGAUUGGAGAAAAUAAUAUACCAAUCGAAUAUUAGCAAUCGGCAUAUUUUGUUUUUAAUAAUUUACAAUUACACCAACAUAUUGUUUCAUUAGACAUUUUAUCAUCCUUUGGCUUAGAAGUAGGUAAUGAGCAGAGAAUUCUUUAAACAAUCUAGUAAUUUUUUAACUUUAAAAUUUAUGAAUUCGUAAAUUUUAAGACUUUUCAUACUCAUCAUUUCUUGUUCUUCUUUUUGAAAAUUUUCUUUCCCCUUUUUUUCUUUUAUUUUAAAACUAAAGAAAAAUUAUAAACAAAACAUGAAAGCAUCUCUAGAAGAUAUUUAAGUUAGUCACCAUCAGAAUAUGUCCAAUUUUUUCAUUUUGUGAGUUCAGGAAUGCUCAAUUACCCUCUCCAUUCAAAAUAGCCAUUUGCUAGUAGUAAACUCUAACUAUACCUUACAAUAAGAAAUCAUACAACUAUUAGCCGGUGUCCCACUUUGGCAUCUUUCUGCUCAUAUUGUUAUUUAUAUUAUUAUUCUUACACCAAAGUGAGAAAAAUAAAAAGAAAUGAAGAGCAAUUAUUGAGGAAUAAAGACCGGAAGCUUCCAACCAUCUCUGAUCCAACGGUUGUUUGGACACACACCUGAACCAGCAAACACCAGCGGAUCUCGAAUCCGAUCCUCUCUCCAAUCAGAAAAAAGAAAAAAAAAACCAAAGAAAAAGAAAGGGCCCCCAAAUUCCCCAUCGCCUAUUGGCCACCUCCUCCCUCGCCGCACCAACCCCCCACCUCGGAACCCCAACGCGCCCAGCAUCAGAUCAGAGAUCCGAUCUCCGGCCGGCCGCCGCUGUCGCGGAGAUGGCCCGGUGCCUCAGCUUCACCGCCGCGAGGGACCGGUGCUACGACCGCAACUUCUCCGCCGCCGGGCUCCGCUCGACCGCCACCGUCCUCGGAGACGGCGCCACUGUCCACUGCUGGGUCCCCAAAUCCCCCGACCCCGCCCGCCCCCCGCUCCUCCUCAUCCAUGGCUUCGGCGCCAACGCCAAGUGGCAGUGGGCCGGCUACGUCCGCCCCUUCCUCCGAUCUGGCUUCGACCUCUACAUCCCCGACCUCCUCUUCUUCGGCGGCUCGGAGGCCCCCGGGCCGGACCGGUCGGAUGCGUACCAGGCGCGAUGCCUGGCGGCGGCCAUGGAGGCGCUAGGGGUGCGGCGGUUCGGGGUCGUGGGGAAUAGCUACGGGGGGUUCGUGGCAUACCAGAUGGCGGCGAUGUUCCCAGAGGCGGUGGAGCGGGUGGUGCUCAUCUCCGCCGGCGUCUGCCUCGAGGAGCGGGACCUCGCCGCCGGCCUCUUUGUCGUCUCCGACGUCGCCGAGGCCACCAGCAUCCUUCUCCCCCAGCGGCCGAACAAGCUCCGCCAGCUCGUCCGUCUCUCCUUCUGCAACCCGCCACGUGUCAUGCCCUCCUGUUGUAUCUGGGACUACAUCCAGGUCACCGCACAUACUCAACACCCAUUACAACCAAUGUUUUUUUUUUUUUCUGAAUUCUUUCUUUUAAAGAGGCUGCCAUUUUACAAUAAUCUCGUUUCACGUGUUUUAGUUAUUAGAGUUGCUUGACCACAUUGGUUUUGCACUUUGAGAUCUAUAUGUCAGGUUGGAUGGCAAAACUUAGUUUCAUAAUUGUAUGGAGUUGAUAGUAAGCUACUAGAAUUGAAGAGAUUACUUUUUAUUUUUUUAAAAAAAAAAUCUCACUCAAUACUGAUUUUUAAAACUAAUUAUGAGUCGAAUUUUGAAACCAUCCACGGUUCUUCCAUUUUGUACUCUUUGUAGUGUCUAGUUAGGUUAUUUAGAUAUUAUUAUAGUGUUGUUUGUGCUAGUAAUAUUAGCUAAUGGCAUGCAAAUAUAUUCCUUUUUUGGGGUAUUUUCUAGGUCUUUUGGUUGUCAACCAUUAAGUACUACAAUACACUUUUCAUGGAGCUCAAAGAUUUCUUACUGAAAGAAUUCUUGAGAGUUAUGCUCUGGAAGCAAUGUGGCAUGGAAAGUAAAUCCUCACAGUUCAAUUUAUCUCUAAUGCUAGGUGAUGUGCAAGGAUCAUGUGACUGAGAAGACUGAGUUGAUCAAUGCCUUAAUCAAGGAUAGAAAACUUUCGGAUCUUCCCAAAAUAACUCAGGUGAUUCUAUCUUCUUGUACCAAUGACUUCCCAUAUGAUACAAAGGGAAAACUGGAUGCUACUUUAUAGCCUAAGCAAAAGCCUAAAGGUGCUUUUUGUGUAUUCCAUGGCUGCAUAAUUUUCCCCCAUUAUUGAUUUUACUUUGUUUUUAUCAAAUGUGUCCCUAAAAUUGUAUCUUUCUUUUUAUGCAGCCAACCUUGAUAAUAUGGGGAGAACAAGAUAGAAUAUUUCCAUUAGAAUUGGCUCACCGAUUAGAAAGGUACGGUAAGCAUAUAAUAGAUACAACUUUUCUUCAGAGACUGUGCGGCAUUAUCGGACAAUUAUUAUCUAAAAAGAAUGAAUCAUUUGAAAACUACAGGCAUUUACAGGAGAACUCGCAACUAGUAGUUAUCAGGAAUGCUGGGCAUGCAGUUAACCUUGAGAAGUCCAAAGAGCUCUGCGAGCAUAUAAAGGCUUUUUUUCUUAAUUUUUCUCUCAAAAGUCACAAAAAUCAGAUGGUAUGGUGGAUUUAUUCUCAAGAUAUAUUUUGAAUUAAAUAAAGUUAAUGCGUAACUGCAAAUGCUUUCACUUUGUGUUCUCUCUUUUUUUUUCUUUUAAUGCUUUAAACCUUAAUACAAGCAUUUUGACAAGUGCUUCAAUUUAAGAAUUUAAAAUUCUAAGCACAAUACCAGAAAAAAACUUCAAUGGGAAACUGCCUAGCAACUUUAUGAGAUAUGAACUAAACAAAUUGAGUUUCCUGACAUUUUCAGAGAAGUUGCUUAUUCUGUUUCUUUGGAUAAACAUAGUGUUAUGGAACGAGGUGGAAAAUCAUAGUUAGAUUUGCUGAUUUGAGCAUAAGGAGGCUUGCUUCUAAACUUCCACUGCUAGUACGGAAAAAGACGUGGAUAAAUCAGGUUAAUGUAAGAGAAAUUCUUCUUUUUUUGUUAUUGUUUUUCUGAGUUACAGAAGUGUGGCAGGGGAGCAGUAACUUUGAAAGGAAGCCUAAUCAUUUCAAAUAUUUAUAUGAAUGAGAAUCAUAUGAAAUUUUACUCUUUGCAGAUAAAGAAGUUUGAAAAAAAUAUAUAUGAUCCAUCUGCACGUCAAUAUAUUUGUGCCUGUGAUUCGUAAUGCUUACUUGCUUUUUGGUAUUUUAUAUAAAAGUUAUUGUUUACAUAAGGUACUGUAUUUUUCUUUUUGUAGAGAAGAUCCCAAAGACCAUUAACGACCCAAAUAGAGUGGUGCCUGCAACCUUGCAUAACCAGAUAGUGCACAGAUGAGAGAAAUGAGAAUUUAUAUAUAUGACAAAUUGAUUUAAGAACUUUGCCUAAAGGUCAUGAACGUACAAAAUGUUAUGUGAUCUCUUGAUUUAUUUGUGCCAAAUGUGGUUUUUUAGAAGCUUACACAUGCAUCUCAAAUUUAAAAUCUUAUUUUGUGACAUUAGAGUUCUUAACGUGAGCUACUCAUGGUUAAUCGUAAAUUUUAUACCAAAUAAGACAUAAAAAGGACAUAUUUCAAAGUUAGAAAUCAAGUGUGUUAGCUGGGCAUUUCAGAUAAAAUACGCAAGGUUAGAUCGAUAUCUUGAACUGCAACAGCAACAGAGCAAGGUUUCCCAAAGAACCAAGAAAGUAUUUCUUGUAAAGUGUUUGAAUAUAAACAAAUAGCAUCAAUAACAAUUUCCCAUUUGCUUGGUGGAUCUGCAAUAAACAUAUAAACAAAUUUUAGAGACGACAAAUCAUAAAUUUUUUUAGCCUGAAGAUUGGAAACAAGAAAAAAGAGAUUAACUGGAAAACUAGUCAGAAGUGCUUAUAAGCGAAUGCCAGUGGGUGAGCAACAUCCUAGGGUGUUUGUUGUAUUCUAGUGAAAAAUUAUUAUGAAGUUCUAAAGUUUCAUUUAUUACAUCCAGCUAGGUUAACCUGCCAUUUUAGGAGUAUUCACUUAAAACAACACUUUUCUGGGAUGCCUGGAUUCUUUCUCGCACAAUUUUUUCUCAUCAUGGUGUCCAAGAUAACAAUUGCACUAGUAAGCUAGCGUCAUGCUCCUUUUAGACCUCUGCACAAUUAUAUCUACGCUAUUUUGUUAUAUCUGGAUAUGCCUAUAUGAUCAAGACUCAACCCAAGCACACUAAGGGCACCAAAAUCAAAAUUCUAAUAUUUACAUAAACUGGUCUCCACAGAUGAACUGAAAAGUUUCUUUUAAUGUGACUUUUUAACAAAUUGCUGCAGGUGAUGUUUUGCAGUCUAUCCAUUGAGUUUUGUCAGGCAACACUAUGAUAUUUCAUAAUUUGAAUUAAAUAACCAUGUAUACACAUAAAGAAAUAGACAAAUAUUUGAUGAAAGAUCUCAAAAUUCAAAUUGGAACUAGUUUUUGACAUAUUCUGAUGUUUAAUUUCCGCCUCUUUUGUUGCAGGUGUAAUAUAAUUAAUAAGUGAUUAUUUUUCAUGAGCAUAUGCUUGUGCGAACAUGAGAUCUAGAGUCCAAAGAGCACAAAUCUGCUGUACAUAAAUCCAAAAGAAUAUCAUCUGUGAAGACAGUAUUGUUCAUGCAGGGCCGCCGGACGUUUUAUAAAGUCAUCGUAAACAGCCUGCUCCUUAUCAUGCUCCAGACGAAAAAAAAAGAGGCAGGUGGGAGGCUUGUGGCACAUACUGGAUGGUGCACAUUGAAACUGAUUCUCUCUAGAAUUUUUCUAUUACCAUCUUGGUGUGCAACUUUGAUCUAUUGCCAUUGCCAUUCAAUACAGGAACUUCGGUUCGUGCUAGGUAUAUUCUAUCUUCUUUCUUCUGUGAGUCUAUGGAUGUACUCUAGUGAUGUUGGUCUUUUAGCGAGCAAAAUUGGCCGUGCAAGAAGAAUCAUGUCGAGGAGAAUAACAGAGCUUCAGUUGAUGUCACAUAACAAAGAAGAAGAGGUGAAAAUCCUUGGCAGAACGUGGCUAUCGAAAAAAAUGAUCAAACAGUAUUUCCUUUUCUUUUUCUUUUGGCAGUCUGUCCAUUAAGAAUAACACAGUUGUGGGAAGUGUUUCCUUUGUUUUAACUUGCCUCUUAGGUGGGCCGGUUAAUAUUUCCAGCCUAAGGACAUUAGGUCUCAGCAGUCAGGAAGACUAAUCUUUCCAAAUUCCUUGAGGUACUGCUGAAUAAAUAUUUGCCAUGGUUCCAUCCAGCUCUAAUUUGCAACAGCAGCCAUUUAGGUUGCUAGCACUGAAAGAUCCAAAGGAAAUCAGUUUGCUACCAAAACGAAGCAUGCGGACCUAUCUGAAAACAAAUGUCACACCAGAAAAUAAAGAGAAAUCAUACUCCACUGCAAGAUAUCUAAAACCAGGAUCACUGCAACAGGCUCCCAUAAUUUAGUUUGCAGUUUGGUUUUUUUUUUUCAACAUGAACAGGUCAGAACAUUGUGGGUGAGGGAACCUUAAUAUAUGCAAGAAAGCUGUAAAUAUACAUCGAUCCAACUCAAAAGAAAAGAAAGGCACUCUUCACUUUCCAGCCUCACAAGAGCCACUAGUCUCCCUCACUAGCAGCAGUACAGGGGCCUCAACCAAACACCUUCCCUUCGUACAGACCAACUAUUCCUGCCAAAAACCACCACUCAGUUCAAGCGUAUACAAAAAUUUGGUAUUAAGGUGAUGUUGCUAUAGAUCCGCAUUGUAAUUAAAACUGAUCCAUGUGAGAUCAGAUCAAAUUUAAAUGAAGAUCAUUCAAUCAGAGGCCACACACGAGCAGCUCAUCAUCCUGGAGAAUCAUGCAAGUAAUUCAAAAAGAUGCAUUUUGUCGACGAGCUUCUAGGAUGAAAGUAUGCUGCUUUAUGGAAUGGAAAAUAUAGACUUCCCUCACAAAUUCCAUACUCUGUAUAUCCUACUUUAGUAGCAACCAGUUUAUCAUUUUCACUUAGCUUUAUUAUAAUGUGGAUCUUGAACAAUGUAAAAGAAUAUCUGGGGAAUGGACCGCCUGCAAAAGCCUUACCUCCAUAUCGUUGCUAGUGCCCUUCGAUUGUUCACCUGCAAAAUGGAACAUAACCUCCAUAAACAAGAUUUGGAAAUAAUGAAAAGAAACAACAUUUUAUGAUGAGAAGAGAUUAGCCAACAAAAGGCAGGCAUGUAAGUUUAAGCCGAUGAUGUCACAGCAAAAGAUAUUUGGAAAACAAAUACAAUGAUCACAUUCAAUUAUAAUAAAAGGUUAAACCGAUCAACAUCGAGUUUGUAACAAGUCAACAUAAACCAUAUAAUAGGAAUGUUGCCGAACUCAUGGGCGAUUAAAGCUAGCAUGAUCUCCUCUGCAUCCUACGUUCAAUCAUGAUAAAAGGUUAAACUGAUCACAUAGAGUUUGUAACAAGUCAACAUUAAUCAUACAAUAGGAAUACUGCUGAACUCAUGGGUGAUUAAAGCUAGCAUCAUCUCCUUUGCAGCCUAAUGGAAUAUUAACAGUAGAUAAGGGAAUUUUCUUACUGUUUGCACCUCCCCCGGGAAUUUUCUUACCGUUCACACCUCCCCCCCACCCCCAAACACA